Molecule: long non-coding RNA, 65224 nt
Filed under: Ananas comosus (pineapple)
Lineage: Eukaryota; Viridiplantae; Streptophyta; Magnoliopsida; Poales; Bromeliaceae
Description: long non-coding RNA (ACOM_LNC024959)
Source: RNAcentral
UUCUUUUAAGAAUUUAUUAUAAUUAUUAUUAUGUCUAAAGUUCUAGACUUUCUUUAUUUAUCAUUCUUAAAAAAUUAAUAUUAAAAAUAUUAUUUUAAAAUUUUAAAGUCUUUUAAAUAUAUACAUAAAGUUAAAUUUUGUUAGUGAAACUGUCAGGACCAGUCAUUAUCUCUGUAAAAUUAUUAUUUUACUUUUUCAAAUAUAUUUUUUUUAUCGUUACCAAUUUUUUUUAUUUGCUCGUAAGUUAGGGACAAAAGAAGUAUUUUGAUAUUUUCUUGUCUAAAUAUAUCAUUCUACUAUUACCAAUAUUUAUUAUUUACUUUAAGUUAUAGGUAAAAUAAUAUUUCAUUAUUUUUUAACUAUGGUAUAAAUUUAAUUCGGGUUUGGUCCAAGAUGACUUAACGGAUACUAAAAGUAAAAAUAUUUUGUAAAAAUAUUUUUGAAUAACGAUAAAAUAUAUGAGGGAUAUAUUUAAAACAAAAAGGUAAAAACAAAUGAGAUAUUCUAAAAAUUUUAAGGAAUAUAAAGAUAAUUAAUUUUAUAAAUUAUACCACUCAUUCAUCAAUUAAACUUCGCUUCAUUGGUAUGUUCCUAAAUAUUGUAAACUUUGUAUAUGUGCGAGCGUAGCGUUACUCAGUUUUAUCUGUUUUAUUAUGAUAGGAGAAAAGAUGACAUGGUGUUAACCAAAAUUAGUGCUAAUUGGGCCGACCUUUUGACUUUAGCUUCAGUUAUAAUUAAUUUUAAUCGAGUAUGUAAUAUAUAUAUAUAUAGAGAGAGAGAGAGGGAGAGAGAGAGGAGUAGAGCGCGCUAAUAUACUAUCAGAAAUAUAGAGGAUCUGGUGCUUCCGAUUUUUUAGCCCUUAGAUCAACCCCUUUGAUCAUUUCUAAUAUUUGAAUUAAUACUAUUAUCCUGUGGGGAUUACUUAACCUUAGGAAUACUACUCAACUCUAGAGGAACCGCAAUCAUCCUAAUUGUAUAAUUUUUAAUCCAAUGGUCAAAAAAUUGGAAACAUCAGAUCUUCUAUACAUCCGAUAGCAUAGUAGUUCUACACGAGAGAGAGAGAGAGAGAGAGUUGGGUUUGAAUACUAUUAAUAGUAUUUGCCCUUUUUGUUAUCAAAUUUUUAACUAUUGUAUCAAUUCCUUUAAUCAUUUCUAACAAUUGGAUUAAAUAUUAUAAUUCAGUGGGGACCACUCAAUCCUAGGGAAACCACUCAACCGUAAGGGACUAGUAUCAUUCUAACUCUACAAUUUCUCGUCCAAUAAUUAAAAACUUGAUAGUAAAAGGCCAUAAGAAUGCGGAUUAUCGAAAGGAAGAUCAUUAAAAAUAGAACCGUAAAUAAUGGUUAACUAGUCGAUUUUUGGUAGGUGGAAGUGUAAGAAAAGCUUUUCCGAUUACGAGUCUUUUGAAAAAUACAGCAAUUAGAGCACCUCGUUGAGAUGUUCAUUAAUCAAAUGAUCCAAACUUUGAACUACUGGAUCUGUUAAUAUUAAGGCGACUUUGUUAAUAAUAGGACUCUCUGAAUAAUUAGAUUAAAAAUGGUAGCGAGUACAAGCUAUAGAAUAAAACAAAUCCAAUAACCAAUUAUACGUGAUAAGCCACAGUUAAUUAAUUAAAACAGAGGUAAUAAAAGUAGGGCCCAUGAACACGAGGGCGGCGGGAAACACACACCGCGACAAUGCACAUGAGUCUCAAUUUGAACAACUCUUCUUUGUUCUAAAGUUCCUAAUAAAAUAAAUACACUCUCGUGAUAAUACACUUUGGCUUUGUUAUUUGUUUUUGGCAUACUAUUAUGCUAGUGUUACCUCGCAAGUAAACUCUUUUUUGGAAAUGGUCAAAAUUUUGAACAUGUCCUUUUUAGCAAAAGACCAAAAAAAGAGGGUGCAUUAAAAUUACUUACUGAGUGGAUUUUAGAUCUAGUCAAGGUUAAAGAAAGGGCCAAAAAAAAAAAAAAAGUUAUUGUUACGAUUUUGUCUACUACAUCACUCAAGAACAUUUCAAAUCAUAUAAAACUUAAAAUUAAAAAUCUAAUCUACGAAUUUUCCUAUAACAUCAUAAAAGCUUUUUUUGAAGAAACAACAUUUAAGAACAUAAAGAACUUCAAAAAAAAAAAAAAAAAAAAAAAAAAAAANAAAAAACUGUUUAUGGAUCUUGUUGUGUUGUACAUUAUUUCAACGUGGUUGAUAAAUAGUAAGAGGACGUGAUCGAUCUCUACCCAAACUGAGGAAGCAACAUAGACUAGAAGAUGAAAAAUCAGCAAAAAAUUGUAGGGUUGAAAAGGGGUUGAUUGAAAUAAAAAUUAUUAAUAUUCAUUAAUUAGUGUAGUGUUUAUAAUAUGAAGUUGAAUGGAACCAUUCUCACUGCUUAGAAUUAGAUUGUACGUAAUUUGAAAAUUAGAACCUUAUUAAUUAAUUAAGUCAAACAAAUGCACAAAAAUGUCUUGUUGUAUGUGACACUUGGUUCCCUACUUUUUAGCUUAGUCCAAAAGUUGGACUAUGGCAAUUGGCCUUCAUAAAUUGAUCUGAUCUUUUUUCUUCUAUCUCCGAUACUAAAAUUAUCUAGUUAUUUUCAUAGAAAUUAUGAAAAAUGAAGAACUAAAUAUGAUUUAUCGAUCAACAAUAUUUGAGAGAAUCUUAUAAUAUUAUGAUAUACAUGUUGCAAUACUAGCUUUGUCAAUGAUAAUUUGAUGUUAUUUUUACCGGCAAACACUUAUUCUAAAUCUCUCUAAUUUCUUUUUUUUCCUUUUUCAAUACAAGAAACUUCCAACUAAUUAAUUAAACUCCAGAGCUUACAAUAAAAAAAGACAUGGUUAAACUCUGAGUAUUUUAUGCCUUUUGUUAUAAAACAUUUAUCGGAUUUGUGUUUUUGUCAAAAUAAGCCAUCAUUUUAGAUUUUAUAGAUUCAUCCUAGUUUUUAAUAAACUGACCAAAAUACUCUUUUUCUUUUCUCUCUUCUUUUUUUCCAGCCAUUUGUUUUUCUGUUUUCGUUCCUGAUUCAUCUUUCUCCUUCCCAUUUUUUCCUUUUCUCCAACUUUCACUCUUUCUCUUCCUCCUCCAUUGCCCCCCAUAUUGACGUCACGCUCCGCUCUCUUAUCUCGCCUACACCUCCGCCGACGCCGGCUCUGAUACGGCAUAGAUUGUAGAGAUGAGGCUGUGGCGGAGUGCAUUGCUGCGGACCGCGAUGGCGACGAGGGUGCCACAAAAUUCGAGGACGACAGGAAAGGAAAGCGUGUCAUGUAGUGGCAAUAGACGGGAGAGCGGAUAGAAAAUAAAAAAUAAAAAAUAUUUUUUCCUCAAAAGAUCAUUAUUUAUCGUGGCCGCUACAAAAAAAAUAAAAAAGUAAAGAAGAAAGAAGAAAAAGACGGAGUUGCACUGUUUUAGAUAAAAGUUAUACUCUUUGACGAAAAUUAUACUGUUUGAGAUAAUAAUUAUACUGUUUGAAACAAAAGUUAUAAUUUUUGACACAAAAGUUGGGUUAGCAGAAGUUGAAGCAAAAGUUGUAGAUGCCUACGAUGAUCUAAUUCAUGUUUACCUUUGAGUCAUUUUUUAAGGGUAAGAUAAAUUGUCUAUCACAAAAAUGCAUUAUUGUUGGCUAUUUAUUAUUGAGCUAAAAUAAGCCCAAUUUGCUUCCUCGUGAUAAUAGGCCAGAGACUAAAAAAUUGAAUUGGAUGAGGCUAAUAAAUUGAGUAGGACUGUAGUCCACAAAAGGCUUAACAGUAUGAGACCCAACAAUAGAACUAACUUUCAAGUGGAUUGAAGAAGGUCAAAGCCCGUAAACGCCGUGGUUGAAUUCUUAAAUCUGAUUGAUGCGCCUUUCUUAUUAGCAAGUAAUUUUGGAAUAAUUAGUUAGCACUUACGAUCUACAAUUAUUACUUAUUUUUAACUAAAACCCUUAGAUGGUAGGGUGCUUUUCAAGUGGUCUUUCUCAAAUUUGAGGAUAUAUUAUAAUCUAAGAUCUCCAAGUUUCUCAACCUUUUUUUUUUUUUUUUCAAAGCAAUAGAUCACAUCCAAAAAUCUCAUUUCUGAGCCCUAAUAUGUUUUUUUUUAGAGAUAGGAAACACGCUACCCACUUCGUUUAUUUCAUUUAGAAAUAAACUUAGCUGAAAAUGUGAAUCAAUUAGAAUUCAAACUUGGAACCUCGGGUAUCAACCACCAAACCUUUUGCUACUUGCUAUAGAGAUGGUCGGUUUCUCAACCUAAUUUAAUAUGGCCUUUUAGUUCACUUGUGUAUUUUGGUUGAUGAUAGUGUACCUUUAAUUUCCAAGAGAUUACCAUAGGCGACUCACCAUUGAUUUGGAUGGAUAAUUGCGACGAAGAUCAAAUAAACUUAUGAUUAGUUCCCAGUAACUAUUACAAAUUUGUUCUAGUUUAAUUUAUAUUAGGGCAAAUUGCACGUUUGGUCCUCAAAUUAUGAGGCAGGCGACACUUUGGUUUUCAAAGUUUACCUUAUUAAAAUUUUUAAUACAAACUUUCAAAAUUAUUCUAAUCAAGUUAUUCUACUCAAUUCAGUAGGUAACUAAAAAAUGUAUAUGGCUAGUUGAUAUAAAAGUGAUAUAACAUCUUAAUUAUUAGCGUAUCAUCAAUCACAGAACAAUUCCAUCGCUUUUAUAUUAACGAUACGUUAAUAUUUAAUCAACUAAAGCAAAUUGAUAGGACUUGAUCAUUGCAAAAAUUAUGAAAAUCUAAAUCAUAAAUUAGAAUAAAUUAAAAUUUGAAUACUAAAAUAUUACACGCCUCAUAGUUUAAGGAUCAAACAUGCCAUUCACCCUUUAUUACAAGUUUACAACACAUCCAGCGAUUGAAAAGCACAUAUGCAACUAGCCUGCAAUGGCCUAGAUUGGAAAUACUUCCCUAAACCAAACAAUUAUUAUUCCUUUUUCUUCUUUUUUUUUUCGGGUUAUGUUUGCACCAGAAACCAGGGGCAUCAAACUCGCAACCUUUGAAAGCGCGAGGACUUACGCGAACUUCAUCAAUUCAUCAUGUAAGGUCGCCGAGUGCUGCUCUUCGACGCAGGACAUCACCAGCCUCACACCCUCUUUCGGCACCGGCGGUUUGAUGAAUGCGGCCCUGCCGAAAACAUUGAAGUCGGAACUAGCAACGCACGGAAAGACGUAGCUCGGCGACCCCCACCCGUAGUCGACCUCAUAGUACCCCAGCCGAGUCCAAUCCGAAACGAGCAGCAUUCGAUAGUCCGGCAGGGCGCGCGAAUUCGACAUUACUUCUCCUUUUAACCACGCGAGAAUCCGUCGGACACGGUUUGUUUAGCUUGUCGAAUUACCCCAACUAGCGCGACAAGCGACCCAUUCGCCACUUGCUUGCUCGGUAAGGUGAUCCCUACGGGAUACACGCAGUUCCCGUAGUAGCCGCCGUCGAUCGAGAGAAGCUCGUUCAGGCGGUGGCGAGCAUUCGCCAUGUAGUAAAGGCAGACGUCGGCGUCGGGCUCAACGUUGAUGGCCCGCGUGCGCGACUGCCACAGCAUGGCCGUGACGACAUCGAAGGUAGAACAAAUUUGGCCUGUCUCGGCCGCGACUCGGUCCUUGACUCGGUUGAUGCUGGGGAGGGAAACGUCGAAUUCGGCAGAUUUGAAUCUGUAGAAGGUGUAUUGUAUCUCGGGCCCUGCUGGGCCUUGGGCCGAGGUAGUGGGCUUGGGAGGGCUCGGAACAGAUUCUCGGCGCCAGGUUGCGGUGACCGUCGGCUCGGCGAGACCUCUCGUCAGCUCGGCCACGGCGUUCAGGAACUGGGCAGAGCCGACACCGUCGAAGACUGUGUGGUUGUAAGUGAUGCAGACGGUGAAACCGCCGCAUGUGAAUUUUGUCACCUGAAGAAUUAUGUUCAUGCAGUAACUAUCUAGAAAUUUACCAACCGUUUUUAGAGUAUGUGACAAAGAAUUUAGUGGUUGGUAUCCGAGGUCUCAAGUUCGAAUCACAGUUGAUUCACAUUUUCAGUUAAGUUUAUUUCUAAAUGAAAUAAACGAAGCGGGUAGCAUGCUACCUAUCUCUCUCAAAAAAAAAAAAAAAAAACUAUCUAGAAAUUUGAUGAAAUAGAGUCCUUAACUUUAUUUUAUUUUAUUUUAUGGUGGGAACUCUAUUAAAUUUUAAUUUUUGUAUUUGGUUUCAUUAAGUUUAAUAUUUUUCUUAAUUAUUAGCCAUUUUUAAUUUAAUUUUAUUUGCCAAAAAAUUAAAGCCAAUAUAUUUGGUAUAUCAUCAAUAAUUUUUAAAAUUUUUAGACCGUUGGGAAAUUUGAUAUUCACUCUGACGAGUUUACAGUCUAAAAACUCUGAUAUCAAAUUUUUAUAUUUAUAAAAAUUAUAAUUAUUUAUGAUUAUAGCAUAAAUAUAAAAAAAUUAAUUUAAUUAUUCUGAAUUCUAAAUGUGAACGUAAAAUUUUCGUAUAAAUCGCGUAUACGAAUUAUUGACAAAUCUACUUUAUAAAUCAUAUUUUUUUUACGAAUUUAAAAAUUAAAAUACGAAUUUUAUUUAUAUUUUAUUCAUAUCAAAUUUUUACCGUAUUCUAACGUACUUGGCUCGUUGACCCUCCUACAUCAUAGCACCAGCUCUCACAUGCAUAUAUCUAUAUAUACUCACCUAUUACGUAUCCAAUCGUGAUAUAAUUAAGAAUUCUACUCUAAUUUAUACUUAAUAAAUUUAAAAUACUUAUUCUAAUCUAAUAAAGAUUCAACUAUAAUCUAAUCAAAAUAUCAACAUAAACCAAAAUUACUUAAUUACAGAAAAUCAAAGGAAAAAAAAAAAAAAGUCUCAUUCCAGAAAAAAACAAAAAAGUGAGGUGUCUUACCAAAAUAUCCUAUAAUGGAUGUAGUACCACCUUAUAUUGACAGUUUUGUCCUUUAUAAACAGUAAGGACCGCAAUUCUUAUUUAUUAGAACAGUAUGUUUGAUCUAUAAAGUAAUUUAUUUUAUUUAAAAAAUAAAUUUGAAGAUUAGUAGUAUUUAAUUUUAAGAGAUUAUUGCCUAUAUAUUCUUCAAAAUUUUGGAAAUAUUUUUAUAUAUCCUUCUUCUUUUUUUUUCUUUUCAAUAUAACUCUCAUAUAUUCCUCCAUUAUUUCAAAAUACUCAUACAGUUACCAUCCGUAAAGUUAACUUGGGUUAAAUAUGAGUUAAAUAUCUAACACAGUUAAAAAAAAAUUAAAAUACUACUUUUGCCCUUAACUUAAGGGCAAAUAAGAAAUGUUGUUGAUAAUAAAAGAGUAUAUUUGAAAAGACCAAAAAAUAAAAAACUUUUUGUGCUCCUAACUUAAGGGCAAAUAAGAAAAAUCGGUGAUAAUAAAAGGUAUAUUUGAAAGUGCAAAAUAGUGAUUUUAUAGAAAUAUUAUAGUUCAUUAACAGAUUUUAAUCCUUGGAACAUAAGAAAGGCAUUUUCAAUAUUAGCAUUCUAAGAAGGGUAAAUAAGAAAAUCGAAAAUUUUUCAAAAAUAUAUAAGCAAUUGUCCCUAAUUUUAAAUAUUUGACCACACUCUUUAUAUACCAAAUAUAUCAAUAUUUUAAACAAACCAUAGCUAAAUAGAACUUUCAAUUUAAAAAAAAUCAAAUAUUAACUAACUAGAAUUAUUUAAAUUAGAAUAAAAAAUCAUAGGCUAAAGAAGUUCUAAUAAAAAAAUGAAGUUCAGGUGGCUUUUUUUACUUAAAAUUACUUUUAUUUGAUGGAUCUCUCUGUAAUUUUACCUUCUUCGGUACUAUUAAUGGCUAAUUAAUGAUGGCAUUAAAACUAGUGUCUACUCAGUUCCGAGUUUUUCUUUUUUUACUUUGUUAUUUUUUUCUUUUAUCCUUUGCGUUGGAACAGUCCAAUUAUCUUGCUAUUUCGUUAAUAGCCUUUGGAUUGGGGAGCUCAUAAUAACAAAACUAGUAUUACUUAAAAACUUUACAAUUUUUUUUUAUUUUAAAAAAUAGAUAGUAUGCUAUUCACUUCAUUUAUUUUAUUUAAAAAUAAAUUUAAUGAAAAAUAUGAACCAAUUAGGAUUCGAACUUGGAAUUCAAAUACCAACGACCAAACUCUACAAAUUUAUAUUGAUAAUAAUAACGACUCUUUAGAAGCCAAAAUAAAAUACUCAUAAAUUUUAUUUUUCGCCCCUUUCAGAGAUCUGAGUUGUCUCACCCAUAUAGCUAAAUUUACUUUUUUAUUGAAUGAAGCGGAUACCAUGCCCUCUUUUUCUUAAAAUAAUAAUAAUAAUAAUAAUAAGAAUAAUAUAAUUUAUGCUGCUAAUAGGUGUGUACAUACCUGCGCCAUGAAGAUGACGUUCUCGUGGUUGAGCUCCGGCGGAGGCCGCGCCGCGAGAACGGCGUGCAGUUUCGAAUCCCAAUCGCCGAAGCCGUCGAGGCUGCAUUCGGCGGAGGCCUCGACGAACCACACGCCGUCACCGUCGCCGUCGCCGGAGCACUCGAUCUCCAGCUCGCCCCCGGCGGGCUCGACAAUCCGUCCGGCGACCGGGUAGUAGUGCACGAGCGCCCUCGACAGCCCUUCACUUAUGGCCUUCGCCGGAUCUUCGCCGCCGCCGCCGCCGCCGCCGCGCCGGAAGACGAAGACGAUAUCUCCGGAGAACCGCAGCCCCGGCAGGCGGUCGAGGAAGGAGAGCUGGAGGCUCCCUCGCGGCGUCGGCUCGCAGGCGCGGACCAGAAUCGCCGGCUCUUUCGUGAUCGUGCAGUGGCCCGCCAUGCUCCUCACUCAGAUCUCCAAGUAAUGGAGCGUGCCUAGCCACUUAGUUUAGUGCCUUAUUUUUCUUCAUCCAUGCUGGCUUGUACGGACAACAUACUAUUUUACCCACUAUCCUUUUUAUCCCAUCUACUCCAGCUAAAUAUUAUUUUUUUUAAUACUGGACUAACUCCAACCCCCAAUCUAACACAAAAAAUAUUCUAACCCUAUCUUAACCCUGAACUUAACCCUAUUCCUGAAAUAACAAAUUUUUUCUUAAUCCGAAAACAAACGGUAGCUAAACAUACAAAUCUAUCACCCAUAUCUCUCUAAACAUAUAAAAUUACUAGCAAUAUUUCUAAAUCUUAAACCUUUCUAUUACCAAUACCUUUUAAAUUCCAUGUCCUCUUAUAUAUACAAAAGCACUAAUGAUAUUCUCUAAUUUAGAGAGUCAUCUACAAAAUUACAAUUUUCGAAAGGGUGUGGAAGAAAUUAAUCUAUAAAAAUAAGACAUUCAAUCUUUUAUUUAAAAAUUGUGCUUUAAAAUAAUCUACUUUUCAAAUUAUGUAAAACUAAAUAUAUCAUGCAUCACAUGUCCACUUUAACUAAGUUUAUACUAUAUAUAAAAAUAUGUAUUCAAAUUUGAAUCUUUGAUGGGCCCAUUUGUACAGAGAAAUAAAAAAAUAAUUAUUGUGAUAUUAUGAUAAAAAAAAUUUAAAAAUAAUAACUGGGGAUCAUGAAACCCCAAAGUUCGCGACAGCUCUUAUGCCGAAUCCCCAAAAUGGCGACCAUUCUUUACUUAGUAUUUUCAAACCUUCUAAUUUACCUUAUUAUUUAGGUUGCGUUUGGUUCGGGUAUAAAUAAGAACUAUUUAUUUCAGAAAUAGAUAUAAGUUCAGAUAUAAGCAGAAAUUAGACAAAUUUUAUGUUUGGAUAAAAAUUGAGUUGUUCGUAAGAAUAAAAUAAAUAAUGUUUGAAUUGUUAGAUUAGAAUAAAAAAAAAUAAAAAUUAUAUUUUAAAUUAAAAGUAUUUUAUUUAAUUAAUUAAUAUCAAAAUAUUACUUAAAAAUAAUAAAUUAAUAUUAGUCAUUAUAAUUGAACUCCAAAACACAAGUUGGCCGAAUCUCAUAGUACUUAGGCAACAGUUGAACAUGUAGAAAAAUUAAAUGAUUCUUCUAGUUAUAAUAGAAAAGUUUACACACUGAUAAUGAGCCCAUUUGCAUGCUUAAAUACAUGCAUAGUAAUUUGAGGAUUUACAACUUGGUACCACAGAGUUGGUAAACGAGACCAUCAAAUUUUAAAAAUAAAUGUGACUUGCCUUGUACAUGCGUUUUAACUAGUGUGUGCGAUGUAUAUUCUAAAUACAAAAAUAUAAAAAAUCUUUUCCAGAUUUGGGGCAGGGCGUACAUUUGACACGGGAUAGCUUGGUGGCAAGGCCUAAUGCGCACUCGAAGAGGGCUAGGCUCAACGAACUGGUAGCUGACUGGUGGGUUAUAUGAGAAAUCAGGAAUGCAGUAAUCUUUCGACAGAUACAGAUGAACCCUAAUUUAGCUGUGACUAAGAUUAUACAGUUGUACAAUCUGUGGGAGUGGUCCUUCGCUGCCACAUAGCCGUCUUGUGGGAGUGGUCCUUCGCUGCCACAUAAUAAAAUUAUACACAAUAGUAACGGAACACCAAAGUACAGUGUAGUAAUGUAUAUAAAUAAAUAUAAUUAAUCCUAAUAAAAAAUAGAAAAUGAUCUAUUUAUUCCUAACAAUAGCUAACUAUCAUAUAAUCUAUAACUUUUUGGGUUUAAUUUAUGUCAUUUAGAAUAUCUUUUUUAUUUAGCACAGACACAAUGUAGUAUAAAUAAAACUAAACAAAUAAAAUCAAAGUAUUCUGGAAUAACAAAGUAAACUAUAUAUUAAAAAAAAAAUCUUCGAAACUAAAAAACUGCUGAACAAAAUAUAAAAAACAUAAAAUUUCUUAAAAUGAAUCUAAUUAAAACUAUCUAAUUCUGGCCUCCAAAACCAAACAAAUAAAAUGAGAGUACACUAAAUAAAUGAAAUAAAAAAGAGGCAUAUUAAAAUAGUAAAAAAAAUUGAUAUCAAAAUAGUUAAAGAAAAUUAGAAAAUACUAAUUAUUAAUGCAUAUUAUCUGGAUCGUAACUUAUAUAUACUACAACAAUAAUUGAAGGGUAGGAGAGGUAAAAGAGGUAUUUUAAUUAGCCAUAUUUUGGACAAAUUAUUAGUAAUAUAGGCAGUUUUGAUGAGUUUUAAAAUUUGAAGGAUAUUUUGUAUAUUGACAAUUUUUGAAAAAAAUUUAUGUAAUUAAGAGUGCAUGUAAAAGCCUGAUAAAAUUAACCCUAUUAAUUAGAUAUUAUAGCAAGUGUCUAACUAAUGAAGUUACAAAAUAAGAAAAAUUUGGAUUUAAUUCUACUAUGAUAUUACUUAAAAACUAAACCGGUAAAACAUGACACAGAAAUGUAGAUAAUAUAUCAAAAAAAAAAUGACACAGAGAAACGAAAAUAAAUAGAGUAUAAUUUAUCAUUAUAAAAAAAAUGACAACCUAAUAAUUUUGUAUCGGAUAAUAUGGUAAAAUAUGAGAAUUUUAUAUACGAUAGAUCGAGACGCUAGAAUUAAUAAUUGAGCAUAAGCAAUUUAGUAAAAUUGUGCUUUUUUGUCGAUGAUAGUGUACCUUUAAUUUCGAGGAGAUUUAACAAAGGCUACUCAUCAUUUAAUAUAUUCGGAUAGAUGGAUGGAUAAUUGCAACGCAGAUCAAAUAAAAUUAAAGAUUGGUUCCCACUGAUGAUCACAAAUUUGUUCCAGUUUAUUUUAUUUUACGACACAUCCAGGCAUAGCUAAGCACGCAUUCAGCUAGUUUUUUUCUUCUUUUUUUUUUUGUUUUGUUAUUUUAUUCUAGAAACUCGAUCGAUAAAUUUCGACAUGCGGGAAUCAACCUCGCAACCUUUGAAAGUGCGAGGACUUAGGCGAACUUCAUCAAUUCAUCAUGCAAGGCCGCCGAGUGCUGCUCUUCGACGCAGUGCAUCACCAACCUGAUGCCCUGUUUCGGCAUGGGCAGCUUGAGGAAGGCGCACGAACACACAACAUUGAACUCGGAACUACAACCGCACGGGUAGACGAAGCUUGGCUCUCCCCACCCGAAGUCGAUCUCACAGUACCCCAGCCGAUUCCAAUCCGUAACGGUCAACAUUCGGUAGUCCUGCAGGGCGUGUAAAUUCGUCGCUCCGUCUCCAUUCAUCCAACGCGAGAAUCCGUCCGACACGGUUCGCUUAGCUUCUCGAAUUAGCCCGACUAACACGACGAGCGACGCAUUCGCGACUUGCUUGCUCGGUAAGGUGAUCCCUGCGGUAUACACGCAGUUCCCGUAGUAGCCGCCUUCGAUCGAAAGGAGCUCGUGUAGAACGUGGCGAGCAUUCGCCAUGAAGGAGAGGCCGACGUCGGCGUCGGGGUCGAGGUUGAUCGCCCGUGUGCGCGACUGCCACACUACGGCCGUGACCACGUCGAAGGUGGAACAACUUUGGCCAGUCUCGGCGGUGACUCGGUCCUUGACUUGCUUGACGCUUUGGAGGGAAAUGUCGAAUUCGGCAAGUUUGAAACUGUCGAAGGUGAAUUGAAUCUUGGGCCCCUCCGGCCCUUGGGCUGAAGUGGUGGGCCGGGGUGGGCUCGGAAUGAGUUCUCGGCACCAGGUGGGGCUGACGGUUGGCUCGGCGAGACCUCUCGUCAGCUCGGCCACGGCGUUCAGGAAUUGGGCGGAGCCGGCGCCGUCGAAGACCGUGUGGUUGUAAGUAAUGCCGACUGUGAAGCCGCCGCACUUGAAUUCUGUCACCUGAGGAGUUGUCGGAAAGUCGUCGGUAGAGAAAAAUACUUUUGCGAAUGAAAAUGCUCUUCAUUGUCAAAAAAAAUUAUGUGAAAAUGCUCGCGACGAUCAGAUAACGAUCACUGAUUGACGAAAAGAAUUCGCAUCUCACCGUUGAAAGCCUUCCUCUACAAUUUUUGUUUUUCCUAUUAACUCCACUAUAUGAGCAAACUAGUACAAAAAUCAAAGCCCACAAGAACAGUGUCUUGGAGAGGGGCAUAAUACUAUACUUUCAGGCUUCCUUUCGUUCGGAUAUAAAUAAAAAUUACUUAUUUUAAAAAUAAAUACAAAUUUAGAUAUAAGUAAGAAAUAGACGAAUUUAGUAUUUGAAUAAAAAUUAAGUUGUUCCCGAAAACAAGAAAAUUAGUGUUUAAAUAAUUAAGAUGGAAUAAGAAGAAUAUUAGAUGGUUAUAAAUAGAAAAUAAUAAUUUUACUCCUCUCAUUAUAUUUAAAUUUAAAUUUUAAAAUUCUACAUUUAUAAUUUUAAAUUUUAAAUUUUAAAUAUUAAAAUUUAAAAUUUAUAAUCUCAAAUUUUAAAUUUUAUAAUUUUAUAAUUUAAAUUUCAAAUUUUAAAUUUAAGACCAAUUUUAAAAUUUAAAAAUAUAAAUUAUCAAAUUUUAAAUUUUAAAAAUUUAAAAUAUCAAAUUUGAAAUUUUAAAAUUUAAAUUAUAAAUUUUAAUUUUGAUAUUAUAAAUUUUUAAUUUUAAAAAUUUAAGUUCUAAUUUAAAACAAAAAUCUCUCUCACGAUGAGGGGAACAAGAGGUGGGCUUGUUCCCACCCCUGCGUGGGAACUAUUAAUUCCCACCAUAGAGGAUUAUCCCACCCACCCUAUUUACUGUUUGGGUAUAAAAGGAGAUAAGGCCAUAUCCCUCUCUUGUAUCCAAUCCAAGGUAUAGUUUGGUUCGGAUAGAAGGAACAACUGACUAUUCCAAAAAUAGGUACAAGUUCAGGUAUAAAUAAGAAUUACAUUAAUUUUACAUUUGGAUAAAAAUUAGUUGUUUUCAGGAAUAAGAAAAAUAGUUCUUGAUUAGAUAAAAUAGAAUAAAAAGAAUAUUGGGUGGUUAUAAAUAGAAAAUUGAUAUUAUUCCUUUUGUCAUAUUUAAAUUUAAAUUUUUAAUUUUUAAUUUUAUUUUUAAAUUUAUAAUUUUAAUUUUAAAUUUCAAAUUUUAAAAUUAAACUCUUUUUAAAGUUUAAAAUUUUAUGUUUGAAAUUUAAAUUUUAAAAUAUAAAUAUCAAAAUUUAAAUUUAAAAAUAUAAAAUAUCAAUUUUAAAUUUUAAAUUUUAAAUUUUAAACUUUAAUUUUGAAAUUAUAAAUUAUUAAUUUUUAAAAUUAAAAUUAGAAUUUUUAAAUUUAAUUUUUUUAAAAAAAUAAUAGGAAUGAAAACAAGUUCCCACCCCUAUUCCACCUAAGUGUGGAAACAAAUUAUUACCAUCCUUCGUUGGUUAUCCCACCCUGAGAAAGUCAGAUAUAGUGUUUGGAGAACAAAGGAAUAACCCCUUAUCUCCUUUGUAUUUUUUUUGAAAAUUAGGUAGCAAGCUACCUGCUUCAUUCACUAGGAAAAUGAAUUAGGCUUAUAUAAUGAAAGCAGCCAGAGCCUCCGAGCAAAAAGGGCAAGAUAAAAACAAAAGAUGGACAAAAACAACAACAACAAAAGAAACAAAGACAGAAAAAAGCGAAAAAGACGAAGCACAGGAGAAAUGAGAAAGGAAGAGCUACCACUACUGCUAUAGCUGCUACAACCACCGCUACCAAAAGCUACUAAAACUACUGCGGCUGCUACGUUUUUCAAUCAGCCAUCAGCAGAUUGAUACGGUCUAAAGCUUGGGAAGGAUUAAUUUGCUUAGCACGAAAGAGAAUAUCAUUCCUCUCGGUCCAAACCACCCACCAGACGGCGGAUAGUAGAGACAGUACUUGUGCUCUUUUUUGUGCGCCAGCAAGGUUACAACCUUUUGACCAGAGUUCUCUGACAUCCGUCGAGGGUUCGAGCAAUAAGUUCGGUCCGUCCACUCGGUUCUAAUUUGUUUGGUUGAGUAACAAGGUUACAACCUUUGUUACUCAACCAAACAAACGAGACUUAGAAGGUGAAACUUGCCGCAUGGCAUGUUCAAAUUAAUCGGUUCUAAUUUAAUUUAACCUGCUUCACAUAAAAUGUAAAUUAAAAUUUAUCCUGAUAAGUUAACAAUAGGAAUAAAUUAUAUAUUUCCUAUUAAAACAUAUUUAAUAAACUAAAAUUAAACUCAAAUUCUAGUAUAAUUCUACUUAACCUCUUAAAAACAUGUACCUGCAUCAUGAAGAUGACGUUCUCCAUAUUCACCUCCGGCGGAGGCCGCGCCACGAGCCCCGCCGCGAAAAUCAGGCGCAGGAUCAAAUCCCAAUCGCCGAAGCCGUCGAGGCGGCCUUCGGCGGAGGCCUCGACGAACCACACGCCGUCGCCGUCGCCGGAGCACUCGAUCGCCAGCUCGCCGCCGGCGGGCUCGGCGAUCCGUCCGGCGACCGGGUAGUAGUGCACGAGCGCCCGCGACAGCCCUUCCCUUAUAGUCUUCGCCGGAUCUUCCCCGCCGCCGCGCCGGAAGACCAGGAGGACGUCCAAGGACAGCCGAAUCUCUGGCCGGCGGUCGAGGAAGGACAGCCGGUGGCUCCCCCGCGGCGUCGCCUCGCAGGCACGGACCAGAAUCGGCGGCUUUUUGGUGAUCGUGCAGCUGUUGGCCAUGCUUACUGAUCAGAUCUCCAAGUAAUGCAGAGUGCUGCUUAAUUAGUUUAGUGCCCCAGCUUUCUUCAUUCAAUCAUGCUCUCUUCUAUAUAUGCGCACGCGCGCACACACAGAGUUGAACUAAAAUACGCCUAAAAGCACCAACUCAUUUGUACUUUUAAAUUUCUAGCAUUUAGAUCUACUCUUUAAUAAUUAGUAAUUUUUGAAUCAAACAUUAUCCUAGCUAUCACCAUCUACCCCUAUUAUACUAAUUCUACAUCAUCUCCAUCCAAGAGCUACAAGCAUACCAGCUCACUCUAUAUAUAUAUAUAUAUAUAUAAGUCUUAAAGACGAUUAUGUAAAAAUCCAAAUGUCAUAAACAAUUCUUAAGUUUGCUUUGCAUUAAUGUAAUUAAUUUUUUUUGCACCCUUGUGGUAGGUUCAAUAUACCAUAGGUUUAUAAAUAUAUAUAGAGUCUUAAGUCAUAUCCAAAUCCCAAACUUUAAGAAUAUUAUACUCUUCUUUUUUUCUUUUUUUUUUUUUGAGAGAGAGAGAUAGAAAGCAUGUUACUCGCUUCGUUUAUUUUAUAUAAAAAUAAACUUAGUAAGAAAUGUGAAUCAACUAGAAUUCGAACUUGGAUCUUAAAUGCCAACCACUAAGCUCUUUGUCACUUGCUCUAGAGAUGGUCAAUUAUAUAUAUUUUGUUUUUCUAAGUAAUAUAAUUUUUCAUUUCCUCCAAAACAUAUAUCUCAUAUUUGCACUUAGCUAGCCUUCGAGGGCAAGUAGAUAAACGUUAGCAAAAUGGAGACAAAUUUAUUCAGCUUCGAACAGAAAGACAAGUGCCGCAUAAAUUUUGACGAGUAAAAUCAUCCGUGAGUCUUUAAUGAGCCGCAGUUGUUAUGGGUAAGAUUGAUUACAGCAUUAUAUUAUACCAAAAGAAGACCGUUACAUGAGGGUAGAGCGUUCAGACCUUUCUCCCAAUGGUGGAGAAGUGUGAUGAGAUGUCGAGAAGUGUUUAAAUAUGGAGUUUCGUAUGUACUGGGUGAUGGGAAAAACAUUAGGUUGUGGACUGACAGAUGGACCGGAGAAAUCCCUCUCAGUACUCGGUUUCCAAGUCUCUUCAGCAGAAUAACUAAUGACGAGGUAACAGUCUCACAAUGUUGGAAUGAAAAAGGGUGGAGAUGGCGGUUCAUUGCCAGAGGUUUUGGGACUGUUAGAGCCAACAGGAGACGUCAACAAUUUUUGCCGCUAAAAAAUUGGCUAUCUCAGUACAGCCCAACUUAUUCAUCGAAUAUUCUUAAGUGGCGAUGGACCUCCAACCAAAUAUUUACGGUUAAGUCGCUAUACGAUUUUAUAACAGAUGCAGGCCAGAGGGUCUAUAUGUACGAUUACCUUUGGGGUUUAAAAAUGCCGACCAAAAUUAAAAUCUUCAUUUGGAUCUUGCUUCGCAAGAGAUUACUUACAAAGGACAGAUUGAUUAGUCGAGGGUGCCACGUAGACCAACAGUGCAUUUAUUGUGUGGUGUUCACAGAAAGCUGCGACCACCUUUUCGGCCUCUGUGUAUUCGUCAAAUUUAUUACACUGUGCGAGGGAGGCACUGACACAAGCAAACUGGACGCGGGGGAUGUACGGCGAUUAUGGAUAGAAACAUCUAGCAUCCCCAAUGUUGCAACGAGAUCCAAGAGUCUAACCCGCUUGGCGGCAAUCUGGUGGGUCAUAUGGACUGAACGCAAUAAUACAAUUUUCCGUGGAUUGCUUCCCAACGUAAGCCGGGCUGUGAAUCACGUUAGGACUUUAACGAAGGGCUGGACUGAAGUUACGUGAAUUGGACGAUCUCUACCCCUCCCUCCGCAGUUUUUUUAGUAUGUUGAGUUUAUUUUUGGAUUUUUUUGUUGUUUAUUUUUGGGUUUCUCUUAUUUGGUUUUUUUUUUUUUCUUUUUCGUCUUUUGUAGGAGACCUCAGCUGCCUUCAUCAUGUAAGCUUAGUUCAUUCCGCUUAAUGAAUGAAGCAGGUAGCUUGCUACCUGUUUCUCAAAAUCAUCCGUGAGUCCGUGACAAAAGCCAAGCAAACACAAAAACCAAACAAUACAACAACAUGUGCUAUACACCACAUGGUACAUUAAUUAUUGUCUUUAUGGACUAGGAGUAAACUAAUCCUUUACUAUAACACGCGCAAAUUAAUUUAUACAAUUAAUUUAAAGACAGCACAUAAGUAAUAAUAAAAUUAUGCACAAUAAUAAAGAGAGAGAAAAAAAAAAAAAAAAAAAACACUAGAGUCACAGUACAUUGAUGGACAUGCUGACAACUCUUUAAUUCAAUCAUUUAUUGCACGUUCGUCAUGCCAUGCACCAAAAUAAACAAGCAAACUUAGAUAAAUAAAGGAAGGAUACAUCUUAAUUGACGCUACAUCUCACGGUUUAUAAUAAUAUAAUAUAAUUAAUAACUAGAAACUUUUAGUUAAAAUCAGAUUACGCGCGUAGGUACGUAGCAUCGAUCUUGGUUGGUACACAUGAGCCUGAGUUAGACCAGCUUCUCCAACUCGCUCUGAAACGCCGCCACGUGUCGCUCCUCGACGCAGCGCAUCACGAGCCGCACCCCCUGCUUCGGCACGGGCGGCCGCACGUAGACGCACGUGCCGAGGACGUUCAACUCGCCCGGGACGGGGAAGACGUAGCCGGGCCCACCCCACCCGUAGUCGACGUCGCCGUAACCGAGGCGGCUCCACUCCGUCACCAUCAACGUCCCGUAAUUCAACGGUACGUUGAAGCGCUCCUUCCCCGCGUCCCCGCUCAGCCACGCCGUGAACUCCGCCGUCACCGUCCGCUUCGCCUCGCGGAUCAGCCCCACCAACGCCGUUAGGGACUCGCCCGCGACGCGCUCCCCCGGUGCGGAUAUCCCCACCGGGUACACGCAGUUGCCGUAGUAGCCGCCGCGGAUCCCGAGGCGGUCGCAUAGGACGGGGCGGACGUUGGCCAUGAAGCUCAGGCGGACGUCCGCAUCGGGCUCGGACCGGAGGACCGCGCGCGUGCGGGACCGCCACGUCAUCGCGGUGACCGCCUCGAAGGUGGUGCACCCGAGGCCCGACUCGGAGCGGACGCGGCCCUUGACCCAGUCGAUGGACUCGAGGGGGAAGUCGAACUCGGAGGGGGUGAACCGGUAGAAGGUGAGGUUGGGGGCCGAGGUGGGCUUGGCGGGUGGUGGUGGGCCCGGGAUGGAGUCGCGGCGCCACGCCGGGCUCACCGAGGGCUCGGCGAGGCCCCGCGCCAACUCGGCCACCGCGUUCACGAACUGCGCCGCGCCGAGGCCGUCGAAGACGAGGUGGUUGUACGUGAUCCCGACCGCGACGCCGCCGCAUUUGAAUUCGGUCACCUGGUUGUUUUGACAUAAUUAAACACAGAAAAAAGAGGGAAAAAAAAGAAUAACUACAAAUUUAUGCUAAUAUAAUAUAUGCUAUUUUAUAUAUAUAUAUAUAUAUAUAUAUAGUUGAGCUGGAAUACUAUCAGUAGCAAACGGGCUCCGUUGCCACCCAUUUAUUUUUGAUGAUGGAGCCUCCAAAUCGACGAUCGGCACCGUUGAAAAUGAUCUAUACCACUUGAAGUAUCUAGAAAUCAAAUUUCAUACUUUUUCGAUAUUGUUUUCUUGUCCAUCAAGUGAGCGUAAAAAUGAAUGGCUGAAAAUGAAUAUCCUCUAAAAAGUGAUGAUAGAAAUUUUGUAAUCAUGAUCGAGAAUAUAGAUCUUGUUCUAAAUAGUUUAAAGAAUUUUCUAACCAAAAUUCAAUUGAUUUGGAUAGCUUUACACCGUUAAACGAGAAAACCCCUCAUAUCAACCAUUAAAAUUACUAAUUUUGAAACCCUUUGAUCAUUAGGUAAAUGAUGUCGCAAAAUUUUGAAAUUGAUUUCUAGAUACUUCAAGUGAUAUAGAUCAUGUUCACGGUGCCGAUCGUCGAUUUGAAAGCUCCAUCUUCGAAAACAAAUAGGUGGCAACGGAGCCCGUUUGCUAACAUAGCAUUCCAGCUCAACUCUAUAUAUAUAUAUAUAUAUAUAUAUAUAUAUAUAUAUAUAUAUAUAUAUAGAGUAUAGGCUAGAAUACUUUUACAAGUAUCACCCAAGUAACACUUGUGUGUUUUUAGCCAUUGGAUCUACUUUUUGAUUACUAAUAGGCCUUGGAUCAAACACUAUUCCACCUACCACCACCUACCACCAUCAUCUCAACCUCACAUCUCUCCAUCCAAGGGCUAAAAACACACAAGUGUCACCCAAGUGAUACUUUUACAAGUAUUCUAGCAUAUAAAUAUAUAUAUAUAUAUAUAUAUAUAUAUAUAUAUGAAGUGCUUAGGAAAUAAUUGAACCAGUGAAAUAUAUAUGAUAUAGAUAGAUUGAGCUGAAGCAUUGUGGGCCGGAGUGGGCGGUAUGAAGAUGAAGGAGAAGAAGCCGACAAAAUAAUGGACCAGACAUUGCCUGGGCGUGCAGCAAUUGGCAUAAAUAUUUUAUUAUUUGCAAAAUCUACAAUUCAAAAUGAACUGUAGCCUUACGAUCUAUAUGAAUUGUAGAUUAAUAUUUCUUUACAAAGUAAAUAAAUACCAGUUGAAACAAAAGCGUCAGAGCGGAAAAGAAGAAAAAAGAAGAAGAGAGCGACACGUUCGACGAAAUGCCCCAGAGAAGCCGAGGGAGAAGGGAGGGUACCUGCAUCAUGAAGAGGAGGUCGUCCUUGUUCACCCCGGGCGGGGGCCGCGCCACGAGGUCGGCGCUGGGGAAGGGGAGUGGGGCGCCGCCGAGGUGGCUCACGUCCUCGAGGGCGCACGCGGCCGCGGCCUCGACGAACCACACGCCCUCGCCCGUGCACUCGACCUCGAGCUCCCCGGGGCGCGGCUCCGCGAGGCGCCCCGCCACGGGGUAGUAGGGGACGAGCGCCCGCGAGAGGCCCUCGCGCACCGCGCGCGCCGGGUCGCGGCCCCCGCCGCCGCCCCCGCGGGGGAACACGAGCACGAGGUCGCGGGAGAGGCGCAUGCCGAUGAGGCGGUCGAGCGCCGAGAGCGCCAGCGCGCCGCGCGGCGUGGGCUCGCUCGGCUCGACGAGCGCCGGGGCGCGCUUCGUGAUCGUGGCCGCGUCGACGGUGCUCAUGGCGAGUGGGGAAAGAGAAAGUAACAGCAACGUGGGUGUUGUGAGCUGAGUGCUCCACUGCCUUUUCCUCUUAUUUAACUUUUUUUUUUUCCUUUUUCGGUAUAUGGACAAAACUUUUAUAAAAUUACGAAAAUAACCCUAUUCAUUAUUAAAUUUAAAAAUAUUUUAUUUAUUUUUGUAAGUAAUAAGUUACUGCCUUUGUAUGCGAAUACAUGUAUAGUAUUUACUAUUAAUUUUCCUAGCUUUUAAAUUAAAUAUUAUUCUACAUAUACCUACUAAAUCCAAAACAUUCAAAGUAUAAAAAUUAUGUAGGAAAUAAUAUUUUUUUACUACCAAAAUCACUCUAACUUUACUCUCUCUCUAUCCAAAUAUAUGAAGUCCAACUAAGUUUCGUUUAGGAGCCUGUUUUUGGUGUUAAUAGCUUUUUGACUCUUCAAUAAAUUUUUUUGCAUUUUGGAUUAUAAAAAAUAGGGGGCCCACCAUUGACCACUAUCCACUAUUAUUGGGUUUUGAUUCGAUCACUAAAAAGUGUUUGUACUUCUAAAAUUUAUAUAAUGAAUAAUGGAUAUAAUAGUCUCACACUAGUGACUCUCUCUAUCAAAUUUUUUUAUUUGGUCCCUUAUUUUCGUCAAUCAAGAAAAUAAUUUUGUCCUAUAUAAUAAUUAUCAUAAUAUAUUUAAUUAUUAUAAUUUAUAUUUAUAAAUAAAAUAUAUUUAAAAUAUAUUGUAUAAUAAAUAUAUAAUAUAAUAUAUAAUAUAUAAUAAUAAUUAUAAAUAUUUAAUAUUAUAAAAUAUAUUAUUAUAUAUUUAUAAAUAAAAUUAUAUAUAUAUAGGUGAGUGGUCCAGUGUGGACCACUCAUCUCGGUCCACGAGCUCUUACAUGAGCUCGUGGACCCCGAUGCAAGGAAGCCCCAUUAGUCCCGAUAGUUUUCGUUUUCCGUCAAGAUUCGGCCGAAAACGAAAAGCUCGGUUUUACGUGAAAUCUGUAAAAUAAUUUUUCCUAUAAAAUUUUUUUACGUCGAAUCAAACGCUAGAAAAAUAAUUUUUCACUGAAAAUAAUUUUUCACUGAAAAAAUUUUUCUGACCAUUUUUACAGGGAACCAAACGCCCUCUAAGUGGAGUGGUGGUGGUUGUGGAUGUUGAGUUGUUGAAAGUACUAUCAGAUUUGCAAAAGAAGGGAGCUAAGUAUGGUUAAAUUAUUUUAUAAAUAUAUUAUUAUUUAGCGAUAUAUGUUUAAAAAUUAUAAAUAAUUUUCGGAGAGCGAUCAUGGCGCGACGGAUUUGGGGCGAAUCAAAAAUUUUUUUCAUUUCUUGCUCUGAAUCCGUCUCGAAUCAUAUUAAAAUUACAUCAUUUCUUACUCCGAAUUCAUUCAUUUCCUCUCGUUUACUAACCCAUUCGGGACGGAUUGGAACAAAAACUCCACCAAUCCAGAUCCAUUUGCAUCCCUAAUGUAAACCCACAACUUUGUUAUAGAUGUGAAAUAACCGUUGUACUCUAAAAACUUAGCUGUUAGAAAAUGGUGUUUUAAAUAUUUUUAUAUUUAACACUUUUCCUCAUGUUUGGACUCAAGACUUUUUUUAAUCGGCCCAUAACGUGGGCUGGAAUUAAAUGAAAAGCUUAAGCUGUUAGAAAACGAUGUUUUAAACAUUUUUAUAUUUAACACUCUCCCUCACGUUUGGACUCAAGACUUUUUUUAGUCGGCCCAUGACGUGGGCUGGAAUUAAAUGGGAAAAAAUUAAUAUGUUAGGAGCCUGACGCGUGACUCGAACUCAGCAUGUGAAACAACCGUUGUACUUUAAAAGCUUAAGCUUUUAGAAAACGGUAUUUUAAAUAUUUUUAAAUUUAACAAUAGACAACAAAAGGUGCAGAAAUAAGGCGCAGAUUAGGAAUGCAAAUUGAGCUGGAUUGGUAGAGCUUCCAUCAUGACAGUAACUGAAAAUAAAAAGAUCUAAAAAAAUAUAACUCGUUUUGAGUAUGUUUCGAUUCGCCAAGUAAAUAAAAUGAAAGGCAGAAGAUUUUUUUUUUUUAUCGAUCCGUCCUGAAGGGACUGUUAAGUUGAGGGUUAAUCCGUCCCAUAUCUGCUCCGAUCCGAUAAAUUUGUCCCAUUUGCACCCCUACGACAAAUCAACCUAAUGUCAUUAGUUUUACAUGAACCAAAUAACGCAACAUACGAGUUUUCACCCCAAUUUUACUACGGUCGUCCUACAGUGAAAACAAACACGCCGAAAGUGAGAGGUAAACUCGUACCGAAUAUUUCUAUGCUAAGUUAAGGUAAAUUACAUUUACGCAUUCAAAUGUAUUUCGAUCGUCUCUUGCAUUAAAGAAAUAAAUUUAGUUGUAUUUUUGUAUCAAAUAGAUUCAGAAAGUUAAAAUAAUCAAUUAAAUAAUUUUACUGGAAUAGUUUGUCAUGUAUAGCAUUUUUUUUUAUAAGAGCAAUAUUACCUAUACACCUCUAGAUUAGAUGUUCAUCUUAUAUUUCAUCUCUCCAAAGAUCUCUCCUUUCUCAAAUCUUAUCAAUUUUUUAAAACUAAAAUUUAAAUAAACUUUUGUGAAUCUUAAAAUAUCAUGGAUAUAAGCUUUACACUUAUAUAUAGGUGUACUGGUAGGAUAUUUUUCGUUACAACUCUAACUCCCUCAUAAUUUUUUAAUGUUAAUUUAAUUAUUAAUUUAAAAUUUAAACCUACUUGCACAAGUAAAUCUAUUGUAGAAAAUCCUUACCAAUAUAUUUUUUUUUACUAUAGUAUGGAUGGUUCGAAAAUUGGUUUUUAUUUUUCUUUUAAAAAAUAGAUAGCAAACUACCUGCUUCAUUCAUAAAGCGGGAUGAAUUAAGCGUAUAUGAUGGAAGCAACAACGGCCUCCGAAAAAUAAGGUAAGUACAGAAAGAAGAGCAAAGUAGUAGAAGAAAGACUAAAAAGUGAAACAGUAAUAAGAAAACAGUAGUAAGAGAAGUAAGGGGAAAGAGGUGGCGCGACGGUUUAGUCGCUCUUCAAAAGUAAGGUCCAGUUGCUUAAUGAAGUAAGGUCCAGUCACUCAUCAAUUGUUUGACACGUCCGAGUGCUCGGGCAGCGUUGAUGGGUGCGGUUCGAAAAAUAGUAGAGUUUCUGUCAAUCCAAACAACCCACCAGAUUACUGACAGGAUGGUCAAUCCUUUGAUUCUUGUCGCAGCGUCGUGCGUUUCACAUAAUUUGGUCCAGACUUCCCGGACGUCCCCCAAAACAUCAGUGCUUACCGCCAAUCCUUCCGUCGAUAAUACUAGAAAACGAACAAAAACACAAUGGCAGAAAAGGUGGUCGUAGCUUUCCGGUAAAACCGCUCAGAAUACACAGUGUUGGUCAACAGACAUGCCUCUAGCAAACAAUCUGUCGGCCGUGAGAAGUCUCUUUCGAAGUAACAGCCAAAUGAAGAUUUUGAUCUUAAUAGGGAUUUUUAAACUCUAGAUAUUCUGAUUCUUCCGGUCUCUUAUUCCGCCGUCAGUAAGGAAUUGGUAAAUGGAUUUUACCGUAAACAGUUGGUUGCCGGUCCACUGCCAUUUUGGCGAAUCCGGUCUGUUGUCGGGAUGGCUACAUAGAAGCAGUUCCUUGAGUAACGCCAGCUGUUGACGGUUACAGCCUAAUCGAGACGCCAGAAAACUCCUGGUGAUGAAACGCCACCGCCAUCUAUUUACGUUCCAACAUAGAGAUACCCCAGCGUCCUUGUUCGUGGCAGUUGCAUAAAUGUCUGGAAAUAGGGUGCUCGAGGGGAUUUCACCAAUCCAAAUGUCGGACCACAACCUUAUGUUACUACCAAAGAAUAUUGAACUUGUAGAACGGGAGUAAAUUUGAUAGACAACAUGGCAUACACAAUGAAUACCAAAUAUAUAUAAAAUUCAUUUAAAAUAUUAAAUAUUAAUGGUGAGAGUUUGAACUUACUCACAAAGUUGAAAGGGUUUAGAUAUAAUUAAGAGGGCAGUUGCUCAUUUCCUUCAUUUUUUUUUCUAAAAAUGAGUUCAAUCAGAAAUAUAAAAUAACUAGAUUUCGAAUUUGAAAUUUUAUUAGGUAUUAAUUAUGACACUCUAGGGCAACUGUGCUAUGAACAUUCAAUAAAUCAUCCUCUUUUUAAAGCUUGUUCAAGUAUGGAUUACGAUUCUUAUCUUUUUUUAUUUUGUUUUAUGUUAUUUAGGUUGGGAGUGCGUUACUGUUAUCUUUAAUACAUUUACAGCAAUUGAAGUUCUACCUUAUUAAUAAAUACUUGCAAAUAAUUUCUAAGAAAAUAAAAAAUUAUCGUUUGUAUAUCAUGGAACUAACAAUAUCAAGUUGAUUGGAAAUAAGAUUAUACUUAACAAAAAAAAAAAAAUGCUGUUUGUCAACUAUAUACUUGAGCGUACUGUCAGGGACUUAACGAAAUUGCUAUGCAAUCUAAGUUUUUGGCCUAAUUUUACUAGCGGAGCGGGUCGUUAAAGAGACCUGAACCCAACCCGCUGUGGAGAGAUGAAGGGUUUUGUAACUUCUCACAUCAAUGAUGGAAGCUUAAGGGUUAUGAAACUCUCAAGAGUUAAUAGAGUGACUCUUGAGAUUAUGGCUCAUUAUGAGGGUAAGUUAGUGGGGUGUUGAGUGGCUAGAUUCAAUGUAUCUAGUAGCAUAUAAAUAGUGGCUAAGGCCAAAACACACGGAGAGAGUAUGUUAGUAUGCUGAAAUCUCUUUUUCUAACUAGUGUAGUACUUAGUUUUUUAAAAAAAUUUCUGCCUUUUUCUCUUGUUUCUUUCCUUUGCAUACUAAAUCGUAGGACGUGAAGGCCCGGGCUUACAACAGGGACAAAGGCUUAUCCAUCUCUGCGAAGAAAGGUGGGCGCCGCACGGGUUUUGCGAACGAAAACACUAAGUCCGUGACAGUACAUCUUACGGCAAUAUUUAGAAUUUUUUAAAAUAUAUAUAUAUAUAUAUAUUAUGCUUUUAGUAUUAAAAAAAAUACCAGUACAAAAAUAUAAAUCUUUGCUGAAUAAAGUAUAAGAUUCACAUUCUAUUUUUAGCUGCACAACUAACAUCGCUCAAUUUAGUAUAUGGCUCCACAAAUUUCAAAACCAACCACCAGCUUGUGGAUAAGUUAUGGUUUUUUCUUUUCUUUUUCCUAGAGAAAUAUUAUUUAUGUACUCCGAAAAAUAUGUAUACAUCUAACGCUCCUCAAUCCAAACAUUUUAAUAACUCUUUUUAAGUUUUUAAUAUUAAAAAUAAUUAUAAAAUAAAAAUAAAUUAUUGGUUUUUGAAUUAAAAUGGCGGGAGAUUUAGCGCCUACUUUUUGGGUUUGUGCAUUUGCACGUACUUGUGGAUGAUGAGUAAAUAUGGCGGUCAUUGAAAAUCAUCUUAGAAAAUCAAAAACACGAAAAAUUUUGAAAUGCACCGGAUAUGGGUGACGUGGCAUAACAAAUUAAUCAAAUCUCUUCUUUUAGAUAUAUAUAUAUAUAUAUAUAUUCUAUCAUAAUUAUAAAAAAAUAAGUUUAUUAUAUUUUUGUUUAAAAAAAAUUAUUAUCAUCAAGCUUGGUGGGUUGGGAAAAGCUUUGGAUUCACCAACCACGUGGAGGGGCAGUGAGCGGGAACUCCAAAGCUCCAACUAGCGAACCACGUUGCUGUCAAAAUAAAAUAAAAUAAAAUAAAAUAAACAUGUUCCUCACACACCUCAACAAGAGUAAAUCACUGAAUAAGUUUAAAAGGGAACUUCUUCGGUCCCAAUGCUCUCACACCACCACGAGGUCGACGACCCUAUGUUUCUAAUUGUUAUAUUUUUUUACUUGCUGAUUGCCGACGCAAGUAACAAAAAAUUUAAUAGUUAACAUUCAAAGUCUUAAAUUUAAAUUAUAAUUGAUUCACAUUUCUAAUUAAAUUUAUUUUUUAAAAAAAUAAACGAAUUCCAAUUAUAGUUGAUUCAUAUUUCAAACUAAAUUUAUUUUUAAAAAAAAUAAACGAAACGAAUAGCAUUUUAUCUAUCUCUCUCAAAAAAAAAAAAAAAAAAACAAAAUUACUUCUGAUUUGAUCCCUUUGAUACGUUUUGCGAUUUCCCAAGCAAGCCGGCCGGGACAUACCCUGAAAUUACCAUUUUACCCCUUAUAAAAUGCAUGGUGUUUUCCAAUUUUCCCUGGUUUGGUACAGAGGACGGGAGUGAGAAUGCAAAUACAAAUUGCAGUAUUUGAGGGAUACGUUAUAAUACUGGGGCACCUCACCAUCCUCAAGAGUCGAGCACCACCUUGUGUUAUAAGAAGCGCAAUAAUGAAAACGUACAUCGGGAAGCAGUGACUGGAUUACAUCCAAUUAUACAUAUCCGUUAAAAACACAAACACAAAAAACUACAUAGACACCAGGAAGCCCCUUCAGAAAUUGAAACGACAAUUUGAUGCGCUGCUACGAAUUUGCUCAGUUUUUGCACCAUUAAUCGGCAUUGUUGAACGGUUCCAGGGCUUAAACGCAUAGCAGUAGCGACGACUAAAGCCAUAAAUAUCACAAGCAUAUUACCUCCGGUAUCGUAAAAAAUAAGUUUAUUUUGGAAAGCACGGCACAUUUUAAACACAAACCACAUUGAAACAUAGGUACAUCAUCACAAACGGCGAGCUGAGAAAUGAGAAGAGAGAGUAUCCAGGCAUUGCAUCUCAGUGUUUCAAUACGCUGCAAAGGGAAGAGAAAUAGCAGAUAUCAGAAGAAUAACGCGGCGUCUAAGUAUAUACUAGUACAUGUAAGUGAAGCCCCUGUAGAAGGUAAAUUAAAGCCGUAAUAAAUUUGCUGUUAAUUGUAUAAUGAGUAGUGAAAUGGAGAAACAAAAACGCAAAUUAAACAACCAGCCACUCCCCUACAACAGAACUUUCACCAUCAUGCUAAGGUAUACUAGCAGAGAAACUACAGAAAUUUGCAACGUGUAAAGUUUAUUUGGCGACAGUACUGCUUUUCUAAGGAUAUAUUAUGCUUCCUGGAGUCACUUUCGAUGCAUCUUUUAUUGUCAAUAUGAUAACUUCUCAUGACAGGACAACAUAUGUACUCCAAAUAAAUAAAAAACUACGACAUGAUAUAUGCCAUCAUAUCUCAAGAGGAACGGUUAUCUCAGGUGUUUUGGAGUCAGAAGGACUAUGUAUAGAAGCCUGAUACGGCCAAAGAUCAGAGAAAUCCUUAGACACAAAAUGUCAUGCAUUGUGUGUUGAAAUUAUAAGACUGCCAGUCUAACUAAAAGUAGGUAACAUCAGCCGAGAUAAAUACAGUUUAUUAAACGCAGAGGAAACUUACUUGUAGAGGUAAGCAGCAAUACCGAGAAUGAUACACAGCAAGAUGAUAUCAAUACAGAAAUUGCGACUGGAUCUCAGCUGAAGGAAUGUCAGUACGAGAAAAGUUGUUAGAGAUUGACAAAAGUUUUCAACCACAUUUUAUUUCACAUUCAUCAUUUCUGAACCAUAUUGACAAAGCGAAAUGAACGUACCUGAGUGACAGUUUCCUUCAGUCUCACAUUAGUAUUCUUUAGGUCCGCAUUAGCCCUGUCCACCUGUACUCAGACAUACAAAUAGUCACUAAAAAAUACAACACCAAUUUAAUUUUAGAUCUAUAAUAACCAAUAUCUACAGUAAAGGCAGAGUAAACCAACCUUUGUUUCAAUCUCGUCAACCAAAGGAACUUGUCUAUCCAAUUCCUGGAAAUUACAUAAAAGAUGUUAAACUAAUCUUCACAUAAUUCUCAAGCAUAUAAAACAAGAAAAAAUCCCAACCUCAUUCAUAUCAUGGGCCAUGUUUUUAAGUGUAUCCAAACCUUCAGAAAUGACAUCCAAACCUUGAUCCUGCGAAAUAUUUGAAAAUUCAGCAUGUUAGUAGGAGAUCUUAGUUUCACUACAUCUUCCUGCGUACUGCACAAAGUAGGCUGAUUAUCCACUACUUGAACUCUUAUACUGAUUAAUUAAACAUUAUGGAAUAAGAAACAACACAUCACAACUACUCAUUAAAGCAUCACAAAAGGAAAAAAAAGAAAAAAAAAAAGAUAGGAAAGGAGAAGAAUAGAGCUGUGAAAAAUGGUUUACCAAUUGGAAACAAAAGACAAAGCUAAGCAAAAGAACGAAAAAUGAUAGGAAUACUUGCCUGCUUCAUCUUGCGCAUCUCAUAUUCUUGUCUAAAUUGAUUUGACUCUUCGCUCUGCUGAAAGUACUCACUGUCAAAUCUUCCAUCUACAACCAAUUUUUAGUCAACAAAGAGUUAAACUUCAUAAAUAACAAUGCAAUUAAAACCACAAAGCAGAGACACUGCGAGAGAACUAGCAGAGGAAGACAUAGAACUCCUAUUAAUGCAUGUCCAAGGCUAUAGGAACACAAAUUUUGUUUUUCUUUUUUUUCUCUUUUUCCUCAUGAUGAAGAAGUCAAUUAACACAAUAAGCUCAGACAUUAACACAAUAAGCUCAGAUGCAAUCGCCAACUUAUCUAACUCAUCCUGAACAAGAUAUUCGUGUGUAAGAAGAGCAAAGAGACACCCAUAAUUCUUUGAAAAUAUAAGUGUUUCCAUGAACUAUUAAUAAAAAGUAGUACUAGAUGAUGAAAAGUUUUGUCAGAACGAAUGACACCAGAAAGGUCCCUAAGAUUUGUAACUGUGGUGACCAACUGGAAUUCUAUCUCUUCCUCACUAAAAUAUGAAGUUAAACGAAAGGAGCGGGAGACGAAGAUUGAUAAGCUAUCUUAUAUGUAUCCAAACCCUGAAUGAAUAAACAAUUGCAGAACCAAAAAUGCUGAUUAUAAGAAUAUACAAUAUAGAAGUUAACAGUUGCUAAUGCCAAACAAAGGAAAGGUACAAGUUCUUCCCACAUUAAAAUGCAUCCUAUAAGAUAAAUAUACAGAAAGUUAAGGGUAACAGCAGCUAGAUAACAUUAUGUUCACACUAUUGAGUAGCAGUUAAGAACCUGAAGUUGAGUCAAACUUAAUUUCAGUGCGGGAAGCUGAAGCUGUCCAGCUGCUCGUCUGUUUCGUUCCAGUAGCACUCCCAUCUGGUAUUGAUUGUAUGCGCUCUGGUAGGGCCACAACCAAAUCAUUACGCAUGGCGAGCUCUUCCUUCGAAAGCCCUUUCACCUGCGAUAAAUACAUUUCAGGGUCCACGCAAUGAAUGUACAAUAUAAGAUCAAAGCCCAACAUCUCAAAAGAACUCUUAUCAAUUAGUCUAAUAUAACAGGCAAAAAUAAAUUGGGCACAUAAGAGUCAUCACACUUGAAUCCCAAACAUUCAAAUUACUAAAUCAACAUAUUUUCAUAGUUGGACAUAAUGAUCAACUAUUAAAUUGUUAAAUGAUGCUCUAGAUCCAUAAAAUAUUGCAAGCCAAAACAUCAAAUGAAGAUAAUCGCAAGGACCAUCAAUUAGACAUAUCCACAUUCAUAUGGUGAUUUUCGGAUAAAGCCUAUCAAAAACAGAUUCAAUCUCCAUUCUGAUCUUAUCUUCUAUCUGAAUUACUCUGCUUUCUAAAAGAGACCAAUGUGAUGGCCAAUCAUCAACAAAAUCUCCACAAAUAAACCAAUGUACCCUCUUCGAUCUAUUUACCUUCUUAUUUCAAUUCCUUAGAAACAAAAGCUACAAUUACACUAAAAUUUUGCAAAUUGUCUAAAACAGAAGCCAGCCGGAGCAAACGACAUUUUCCAAACAAGUAAUCUGCAAAUAAAAAAAAUAAAAAAAAAAAAAGGAAUACCACAAACAAUCUCCCAAAAGCUAUUACAUUGUUCUAAAAAGGCAUCACAAUGCAAAUUGCACAUCUCCAACCCGAAUCUAAGCACAAAAGAACAAAUUACGAGCAAAACUUGAAGAGCAAGGCAACACGCACUAAACAAAUCACGAGAUCUAAAGAUGCGAUGGGCGGGGAAGGGGACGGACCUUUUUGAGCGCCAAUCUCUGGAGCUUGGGGACCUCCUCCAUGAGCCGCGCCUUGGUGCGUCGGAUCUCGGCGUUCAUGGCGACGGCGGCGGCCCGGUUCUUCUCCUUCGCCGCCAUCUCCGCUUUCUGCACCGCAACAAUCGCAUCAAAAAACCGCGACGAAACCCUAGAAACACAAAGGGAUCGGGGUGGGUGGGGGUUGUAGAGGGGAGGGAACCUCGAGAGCGGAGUCGAUGUCGGCCUCGACGGAGGCGAAGAGGCGGGCGAAGGGGUCAUCGCCGGAGACGUUGUUGGCGUUGAGCUUCUCGACGUCGUACUUGUCGUACUUCUUGCAGAUCGCGUCGACGCGCGUGAGGAUGUCGAUCACGCUCAUGGCGAUCUCCUCUUCCUCCUCCUCCCUCCUCCUCUUUCACGAGAUCGGAUCCCUCGUCCUCGUCGUCGUCGUCGUCGUCCCCGUCCCAAUUUUGUUUUUAUUUUUAUUUUUUAGUUUUUGUUCGAAGUUUAAUAAUAUUUUGAGAUGGUGGUGGGGGAGCGGCGACGACGCGGGGGCACAGGCUGGCUAUUUUCUGGAUGGGAGGAGUAGAGAAAUUGUUUGAUCGAUCGGUUGAGAGAUGCAGAGGCUUGAGAGAAUUGGGUGAAUCGGAAGACGCAGUCGCCGAGCCCAAAUCAACGCGUCGGGUUUGGUCCACGCCAACGCUUUUGAGUUCGGGUACGGUGGCAACUGAAACCUCUUUCUAAAUUUUUUUUAUUCUUUUAUUCUUUUUUGUUUUUCAUUAUACGGAGAGUUUUAUACAGAAAUACGAUUAUACGAUCAAAUCAAUUAUUUGUUAUUAUUAUUAUUUUAUUAUUGUAUAUUAAAGACCAAGCGACCCGGUUAAAAGAAGAAAAAUAAAAGAAAAAAUUACAAAACCGAGAACUCUUAAUUUGUACGAAAAAUGUAAUAGUAUGGUUGAACUUUUUCAUGUAAUUCUAACUACAGUAAUUGAAUUCAAAUUUACUAAAUCAAACACUGAAUCUGAAUAUGCAUAUAGUUACAACUACAGAUCAGUCGCAAUUAUAUAUAAUCAAGCAUUCUCUUAUAUGUAUUAAGAUGCACAUUCACAUUAGGCAUAAUCUCCUAAAAUUUCAAAAGUGAUCAAAACAUUAAUAGAACCAGAGGGAAGAAAUAAAUUAGGAUGUAAAAGAGACCGGCUAUUAAUUUAUAAUAAAGCAAGCUCAUUAAUUAUCAUGUAUUGCAUAAUUAGCCACAACAUUCAAAUACCAGAACAAACCAACAAGGGAAAUACACAUACAAUCCUUCAUAGCUAAUUGACUUAGCACGACAAAUUAACCCCAUAACGUACUCCAUUACUUUAAUACUGCACCAUGUUGUUACCCCCCUCAAUUUUCCCUCUCAUUGUGUCUAUUUUUCUCACCAACCGAGCCCAGUUCACGGCCACUUGCACAUACAGCCUAUCAUACAUGUUGUCUACGAAGCGAAAAUANCCCUGCAAAUUUGUGCUCUCGAGCAACAACAUCUCUAGCUUGUUCCAUGCGCAACGUGGCAACCUCUGCACCAAUUCCGUUAUAUCUCCAUUCAGUUGGUUAAAUGUUAGAUCUAGUAUCCUCAAGUUGCAUAAAUUUUUCAAGGUUCCAGGCAAGAAUCCCACAAAUCUAUUGAUUCCUAGUCCAAGAACUUCGAGGGAAGUUAGAUUUCCGAGACCAUCAGGAAAAGGACCAGACAUUAGAUUUUGUAUGAGAUAGACGUGUUUAAGGCUAACUAUAUUCCACAACCAGUCGAGCUUGGUAGCGCUGUCGAAGAGAUUAAAUCCUAGAUCAAUGGUCGCAAGUGCGGUGAGGUUAGAACGAGGAAGAGAAGCGAUUGUUUUAUUAUAAAGCACGCAAUUGGCUAGCCUUAGAACUUGCAGAGAAGGGAGCAUGUUCAUCACUUGAACCCAGUCUACGACGGCGGAGAGGUCCACAGAGCUUAUAUCGAGGUACCUCAAAGAAGCGAGGCGCGGUAACCAUGAGAGAUCAACUGAGUACAUGCGAUGGUUGUUGUACUGAUAAUGAUAAGAUUGGUAGUGGUAAUAAUAAAAACGAUCUUGAAUGUCAAGAUGUCGCAAGCGAGAGAGAUUGCCAAGCUGAGGUGGUAUGGCACCGAUAAAACCGGCUCCAGAGAGGUUGAGAUACCUCAACUUCUCAAGAGAGCCAAUGAACUUUGGUAUCGGGCCGCUAUUAAAGCUGUUCAUGCUUAGGUCGAGGUAAUUUAUUUGUCGUAAAGCAAGCAGAGAAGGACUGAUCUCACCGUGCAAAGACAUAUCUACGGGACUGUUGAUGUCGGUGUUGCGAAGGUCGAGCUUCACGACAUGGCCCGUUCUGUUGCUGCACGCGACGCCCUUCCACCUGCAGCAGUCUUGACCUUGCCAAGACGAGAGAACGUUCUGGCGAUCUACGACGCCUGCUUUGAAGGAGAGAAGCGCAGCCCUGUCGCGCAGAAUGCAGCCGAGGGAGGGGGCAAUGAAUAGCAGAUGCCAAAGUAAGAGAACUGCAUGGUUGGAGAAUCUACCAGCCUUGGCCAUUUUCUUGCCUUCUGAAUGUAGCUGGACCAGGCGCCAACAACUGGAAAUGUAAUACUUGCUUUUGGAGAUUACAUUAUAUAUAGGAUUUUUUUUUCCUUAAAAAAGAAAAAAACAACUCUCCCUCUCAUUCCCUGGGCCCAACAGGUUCUCCGAGUGAGUGGAUGAGUCUAUUGACUCUCCAUUUUUUACUACAAUACACACCACAUCUUAUUUGUUAUAUCUAUCGUAUAAGUUAAAAAAUUUUAUAGCAUUUGAUAAGUAAGAAGUAUAUGUCAAAUAGCUAAAAUUACAUACUAGAUAAAUAUUACAUUCAACAUCCCAAUUAUUGUUUCUUAUGUGAAAUAUACUGUGACCUCGCAAAAGACUGAAAUUCAUGAAUCUUAACAAUAUAUAUAAAGAAAAGGCAUCUCACAGCUAAAGGUCAAAGUAUUUUGCUGGCUUGUCCUAAAGAAAAGGCAUCUCACAGCUGAUAACCUUGUAAAGAGAGGAUGGACUGGCGACACACUUUGUGUACUAUGCAGUGCCCAUGAUGAGUCGGUGGACCAUCUGUUUUCUCAUUGUGUUUUUACCAAGUUCAUCAUGGUCAUGGGGGUGGAGGGCGUGCAGGGGGGUGAGCUAGGUGACGACGUGUAUCAUGUCUGGGAUAGGUGGGCGACCAGGAAAGGACGGUAUAACAAGAGCAACAGCCUUCCGGAACUGGUUGCUUGCUGGUGGACCAUUUGGAAGGUCAGAAAUGAUCUGAUUUUUCGAAANNNNNNNNNNNNNNNNNNNNNNNNNNNNNNNNNNNNNNNNNNNNNNNNNNNNNNNNNNNNNNNNNNNNNNNNNNNNNNNNNNNNNNNNNNNNNNNNNNNNNNNNNNNNNNNNNNNNNNNNNNNNNNNNNNNNNNNNNNNNNNNNNNNNNNNNNNNNNNNNNNNNNNNNNNNNNNNNNNNNNNNNNNNNNNNNNNNNNNNNNNNNNNNNNNNNNNNNNNNNNNNNNNNNNNNNNNNNNNNNNNNNNNNNNNNNNNNNNNNNNNNNNNNNNNNNNNNNNNNNNNNNNNNNNNNNNNNNNNNNNNNNNNNNNNNNNNNNNNNNNNNNNNNNNNNNNNNNNNNNNNNNNNNNNNNNNNNNNNNNNNNNNNNNNNNNNNNNNNNNNNNNNNNNNNNNNNNNNNNNNNNNNNNNNNNNNNNNNNNNNNNNNNNNNNNNNNNNNNNNNNNNNNNNNNNNNNNNNNNNNNNNNNNNNNNNNNNNNNNNNNNNNNNNNNNNNNNNNNNNNNNNNNNNNNNNNNNNNNNNNNNNNNNNNNNNNNNNNNNNNNNNNNNNNNNNNNNNNNNNNNNNNNNNNNNNNNNNNNNNNNNNNNNNNNNNNNNNNNNNNNNNNNNNNNNNNNNNNNNNNNNNNNNNNNNNNNNNNNNNNNNNNNNNNNNNNNNNNNNNNNNNNNNNNNNNNNNNNNNNNNNNNNNNNNNNNNNNNNNNNNNNNNNNNNNNNNNNNNNNNNNNNNNNNNNNNNNNNNNNNNNNNNNNNNNNNNNNNNNNNNNNNNNNNNNNNNNNNNNNNNNNNNNNNNNNNNNNNNNNNNNNNNNNNNNNNNNNNNNNNNNNNNNNNNNNNNNNNNNNNNNNNNNNNNNNNNNNNNNNNNNNNNNNNNNNNNNNNNNNNNNNNNNNNNNNNNNNNNNNNNNNNNNNNNNNNNNNNNNNNNNNNNNNNNNNNNNNNNNNNNNNNNNNNNNNNNNNNNNNNNNNNNNNNNNNNNNNNNNNNNNNNNNNNNNNNNNNNNNNNNNNNNNNNNNNNNNNNNNNNNNNNNNNNNNNNNNNNNNNNNNNNNNNNNNNNNNNNNNNNNNNNNNNNNNNNNNNNNNNNNNNNNNNNNNNNNNNNNNNNNNNNNNNNNNNNNNNNNNNNNNNNNNNNNNNNNNNNNNNNNNNNNNNNNNNNNNNNNNNNNNNNNNNNNNNNNNNNNNNNNNNNNNNNNNNNNNNNNNNNNNNNNNNNNNNNNNNNNNNNNNNNNNNNNNNNNNNNNNNNNNNNNNNNNNNNNNNNNNNNNNNNNNNNNNNNNNNNNNNNNNNNNNNNNNNNNNNNNNNNNNNNNNNNNNNNNNNNNNNNNNNNNNNNNNNNNNNNNNNNNNNNNNNNNNNNNNNNNNNNNNNNNNNNNNNNNNNNNNNNNNNNNNNNNNNNNNNNNNNNNNNNNNNNNNNNNNNNNNNNNNNNNNNNNNNNNNNNNNNNNNNNNNNNNNNNNNNNNNNNNNNNNNNNNNNNNNNNNNNNNNNNNNNNNNNNNNNNNNNNNNNNNNNNNNNNNNNNNNNNNNNNNNNNNNNNNNNNNNNNNNNNNNNNNNNNNNNNNNNNNNNNNNNNNNNNNNNNNNNNNNNNNNNNNNNNNNNNNNNNNNNNNNNNNNNNNNNNNNNNNNNNNNNNNNNNNNNNNNNNNNNNNNNNNNNNNNNNNNNNNNNNNNNNNNNNNNNNNNNNNNNNNNNNNNNNNNNNNNNNNNNNNNNNNNNNNNNNNNNNNNNNNNNNNNNNNNNNNNNNNNNNNNNNNNNNNNNNNNNNNNNNNNNNNNNNNNNNNNNNNNNNNNNNNNNNNNNNNNNNNNNNNNNNNNNNNNNNNNNNNNNNNNNNNNNNNNNNNNNNNNNNNNNNNNNNNNNNNNNNNNNNNNNNNNNNNNNNNNNNNNNNNNNNNNNNNNNNNNNNNNNNNNNNNNNNNNNNNNNNNNNNNNNNNNNNNNNNNNNNNNNNNNNNNNNNNNNNNNNNNNNNNNNNNNNNNNNNNNNNNNNNNNNNNNNNNNNNNNNNNNNNNNNNNNNNNNNNNNNNNNNNNNNNNNNNNNNNNNNNNNNNNNNNNNNNNNNNNNNNNNNNNNNNNNNNNNNNNNNNNNNNNNNNNNNNNNNNNNNNNNNNNNNNNNNNNNNNNNNNNNNNNNNNNNNNNNNNNNNNNNNNNNNNNNNNNNNNNNNNNNNNNNNNNNNNNNNNNNNNNNNNNNNNNNNNNNNNNNNNNNNNNNNNNNNNNNNNNNNNNNNNNNNNNNNNNNNNNNNNNNNNNNNNNNNNNNNNNNNNNNNNNNNNNNNNNNNNNNNNNNNNNNNNNNNNNNNNNNNNNNNNNNNNNNNNNNNNNNNNNNNNNNNNNNNNNNNNNNNNNNNNNNNNNNNNNNNNNNNNNNNNNNNNNNUUUGUCUUUUUUUUUUUUUUUUUUUUUUUUCCGAGACCCUAGUUGUUCUUUGUUUUCUUCCGAGGCCCUAGUUGCCUCACCUCUGUAGCCUAGUUCAUCCAUUCUCAAAAAAAAUAAUAUAUAUAAAAAAUAUAUUCUUAUAACAAAUGAUACAGAAAUGAUGCAUACACUGUUACAUAUGUUGUUUUCGGAGGGUGCGUGCAUUCGAGGGAACAACACAUAAGAGAGGGAAAAAUGAAGUUAUGCUAGCUUAUUCACCUAGACUUUUUUCAGAGUCCAUAUAUAACGCUUAGAAUUCCACACAUGAAAACGGAGCAGGUUUCUAUCUCGCUAUAAAUAUUUUGUUCUUUUCUUAAAAUAUCCCCCCGAACUUUAUCUAUCUUGUCAUUCUCAAUAGUGCUCAACCCUACGUUAGUAUGCAUGCAUGCUCUAGAAUACAAGACCUGUUUGGAUAUUUGAAUAGGAUUCUUUUUCUUCCUUUUUUUCCUUUUUUUUUUUUUUUGUGAUUCAGCGCGCGUAGCUUUGCUCAUUUGAAUAAAAGCUAUUUAGAGACAAUUUAUCAGCUAUGAAGUUUUUUGGUUUUUGGUGAUUGAAAUUCAAAUUCAAAAUUUUGAUUUUAGCUUCAACCAGAAAUUAAAAAAUGCAAAAAUUUCAUGAAAAAUUUCCAAAGUCAUGAUUUAUUAGGGUAGGAUACUGCAGAUCAUAUAUGAGAGGUAAUUUAUUUUAUUUUGAAAAAAUAAUUUUUUGGCCAAUUACUUUUCAUCUACUAUAUAUUUGUUAAAUAAAUAAUAUAUAAAAAGAUAUAUUAAAAAAAAAUUUCAUGCAUCUAAACACUAUGUAAGUUGAAAAAAUACAAAAUCAUAAGAAGGAAGAAAGUGCAGCACUUUUGAAAUGUUACUGUUCAGGAUCAAACCGGCCGGUGACCUUCAGUGUGUAAGGCCCUAUUUGGUCUAGCUUUUUCAAAGUAAUUUUGAAUUUAAAAUCACUUUUGGACUCUUUAGAGUGUUUGAUAAAGGGAUCUGAAAAAUCUGCUUCUGUUUUUCAAAAGCAGUAAACUGAUUCUUCAACCCCAAAAGUAGAAGCUGAAAAAAACUGCUUCUCAAAACUUAUUGGCGCACACAUUGAAACACUACUUAACUUAUUGAUAACCACUACACCACAGUAACUUGUUGAUCUUUAAAACAUUCAUUUCAAUAUUUAUUAACUAACUUAUAAGAAUAAUUCCCUCCAAACUCUAAUAGGUCUUGCGUCAAACUAUGUUUUAUCUGUCUACAUAUAUACCCUUCUUUUUUCUAGUUUAAUACAAUUUCUUUUGUCUUUUAGUCCAUAGAUUAAAUUCACCCAUUAACUCCAACACUAGGGAUAUGUGCUAAUGCUCCAAACAACCCGAAUCGGAUCCGGAUGAUAGAUCAGAGCAACUUUGUGAAUCAGGGAACGAGCCCGACCUGGCUCGAUUCACUGGAUCGGGCUAGAUGGGAAAAAUUCAGAUCCGAUACAAUUCGAUAAAAUCCUGAUUUAAUCCUUCGGGCUCAAACCUAAGGCUAACCGGAGGCCCGCGCGGGCUGCGUCCAUCUCUAGAGGUGCCGGCCCGACCCGCGUGAAUUGGGUUCGGACUCGAGUAAGAUUUAACGGGUUAACCAGUUAACGAGUUAACGGGUCCUAGCCACUUUGCCGUAUCGGUUCAUUGCUCCUUUCUGGAGAUGCGUCCAAGACCACACCUCCUGGGCUUGACUCCUUCGCGUGAGUCCACCAAGUCCAAGAACCCAAUUUUUAUUUUAUUAUAUUUUCCCUUCUAAAUCAAUUGGCAUUUGUACUGCUAUAUUUGAAAUAUGAUUGGUAAGAUAAGAGAUUAGGAUUUUGACAAUUUAAAGAUUUAAUAUUCGAAAGUGGUGAUUGAACCCACGACAUUACAGAACAACAAUAGUUUAUGAUUAGUUCCGGUACCAUAUUAACCAUGAAAUCAAAACCAACAUAGAAAUAGAGAACAGUUUUGGGAGGAUAUGCCUUUUACCAUUUGGAAAAAUUAUAAUUAUAUCUAUUUUGUGUUGUAAUUAUAGAUAAUAUAUUUGAUUGCGUGCACUUAAAAAAUAUAUUUUUAAAAUUUUAUCAAUUUAUAAGUGGCGGUGGCGGUGGCGGUGUGAUUAGAAAAGUUUCUAUUUAAUUAGUGAUAGAAAAAUAGAUUUAUCUUUUGUUUAAGUUACUUUCUUCAACAAUGUAGUUGGAACUAUAGUCAAAUUAGGUGUAGUUCCAACUAGUACAGUUGAACCUUCUCAUACAACUCUAGUUGGAACUAUAGUUAAAUUAGGUGUAGUUCCAACUUAUGCAAUUAAACCUUCUCAUGCAACUCUAACUACGGUAAUUAAAUUCAAAUUCACUAAAUCAAACACCGAUUUUGAAUAUGCAUGUAGUUACAAUUACAGAGCAGUUGCAAUUAUAUAUAAUCAAACAUUCUCUUUUUAAGAUGCAGAUUCACAUUAGGCAUAAUCUCAAAAAAAUUUCAAUAAGUGAUCAUAAUAGAACCAGAUGGGAGAAAUAAUUUAGCUAGGAUGUAAAAGUGAUCGGCUAUUAAUUUAUAAUAAAGCAAGCUCAUUAUCAUGUAUUGCAUAAUUAAACACCAUAUUCAAAUAUCAGUACAAACCAACAAGGGAAAUACACAUACAAUCCUUCAUAGCUAAUUGACUAGCACGACAAAUUAACCCCAUACGUACUCCAUUAAUUUAAUAUUGCACCCUGUUGUUACUCCUCUAUUUUCCCUCUCAUUGUGUCUACUUUUCUCAUCAACCGAGCCCAGUUCACGGCCACUUGCACAUACAGCCUAUCAUACGUGUUGUCUACGAAGCGAAAAUAAGCAAUUCUCCAAAUUCUAACGAAAAAUAAGGUGCCGAAAACAACCCAAAGCCCCGUGACAAAUCCAACACUUACCACACAGUAGAAGACUGCCGCAUCUGACACUGCACUCUCAUGUUCUGUGAUAUUAUUAUUAGGAGAUGUUUGAUUUGUCGAACAUUCGUCGGAGAGAGGAGGCCCGCAAAGUCCGGGGUUGCCGAUGUAGAUCGAUGGGUCGUCGAACGUCUGGAGGUGGUGGUCGAACGGUAUCCGCCCUGACAGAUUGUUGUAGGACAAGUUCAACCAGCCUAGCGAACUUAAGUUCGACAUGCUCGGAGGAAUAGCUCCAGAAAGCUCAUUGUUCGACAGGUCGAGAGAUUCCAAUGACUGCAGCUGGCCGAUGCUCCUCGGAAUGUUUCCGCUUAGGUGAUUUCUCGACAAGUUCAAGUUAGUUAAGCAAAGUAGAGCACCUAUUUUUUCAGGGAUCACUCCAUGUAAGUUAUUGGAUGAUAAAUCUAUGCUUACCAUGAAUGGGGAUGAGCUGGAGUAAUUGCGCUCUUGCCCUUUCGUGACCACAGAAAAGCCAUCCGUGUAAGUAAAAGAAUCAUAGCCUCCCGGAUAAUCACUCCAGUAUCCUUGCACAAAACCAUGAUCGGGCAGCCGUAGAGCCAUUGCUGUGAAAUUUGCGAGAGGCGGAGGAAUCUUUCCUGAGAGAUUGUUGUGUGCGAUGUCUAGAACUCGAAGUCGCUCAAGUUUCGUUAGUUGAAAAGGAAUGGAGCCAGAGAACAUAUUAUUCCUCAACUUCAGGAAUGCCAAAGAUUGCAAUUUCUCACCUAUCCAUGCAGGUAAGAUUCCGGAGAAUUUAUUAUAGGCUAGAUCUAGUAUGGCAAGAUUUCUGCAGUUUCGUAGGAACGAAGGGAAUGUACCGACGAGGCUAUUGUUGCUUAGGCUUAAGACCAAAAGCGGCACUCCUGCUAAGCCAGCCAUCUCGGGGUCCAUCGAACAUGGAGGAAACAUUCCUGUUAGAAGGUUGUUUGAUAAAUCUACAAAUUGCAAGUACUCCAAUGACUGGCAUAAGGAAGAUGGAUGGGAUGGUGCCACUGAUACGAUUAUUUGAAAGAGCCAAAGCUUCCAAAUACGGAGCUCCAAAAUUUGUUGGCAGUGGUCCUGAUAAUGAAUUUUUGGAGAUCCGCAGCUCGGUGAGAUUUGCAGGUAAUUGUGGUAGCGGACCUUCGAGCUGAUUGGAGCUAAGGUCCAUUGUCUCCGUUGACAUGGUUUCCAAAGAUGCAGGUAGCCUGCCGACAAUUUGAUUAUUCGACAGAACCAAAACUGAAGCUCGAGAAAACACAUUCCAGAAUCAAGAAGGUACUGGGCCGGAUAUUCCUGUAUCAGAGAGGUCGAGCGUAGAAAUUGUUGACUGACUCUGAAGCCACGCAGGAAAAUGGGGCCCUAGCUUGCAGGAGCCAAAGUCAGCAAGUUCUAAUCUAAACGGCGGAACCCAAGUUGGGUCCACUGUGAUGGUCAGAGGGUUCCUGGACAAGAUCAAUAUCUCUAAUCUUGUUAGCCUCGCAAAAUGAUCAUCCGUUAUUACACCGCUGAAGCUAUUGUAGCUCAAGUCCAGGUAAACCAACUUUUCAAGUUUUCCUAUUGAUGGAGGAAUCGAUCCAUUAAGCGUGUUAUUAUGAAGAACAAGCAUGUUCAGACUGGUCAUAUCCUCUAGCCAAUUUUUUGAUAAGUUCCCAUGCAAAUUGGUGCUGUCGAGCACCAACAUCUCUAGCUUGUUCCAUGCGCAACGUGGCAACCUCUGCACCAAUUCCGUUAUAUCUCCAUUCAGUUGGUUAAAUGUUAGAUCUAGCAUUCUCAAGUUGCAUAAAUUUUUCAAGGUUCCCGGCAACAGUCCCACAAAUAUAUUAUCUGUUAGGUAAAGAGCCUCAAGGGAAGUCAGAUUUCCGAGACCAUCAGGAAAAGGACCGGACAAUAGAUUUUCUUCUAGGUUGACGUAUUUAAGGCUAACUAUAUUCCACAACCAGUCGAGCUUGGUAGCGCUGUCGAAGAGAUUAAAUCCUAGAUCAAUGUUCAUGAGUGCUGUGAGGUUAGAACGAGGAAUAGAAGCGAUUGUUUUAUUAUAAAGCCCGCAACUGGAUAGUCCUAGAACUUGCAGAGAAGGGAGCAUGUUCACCACUUGAACCCAAUCUACGACGGCGGAGAGGUCCACGAAGCUCAUAUCGAGGUACCUCAAAGAAGCAAGGCGCGGUAACCACGAGAGAUCAACUGAGUACAUGCGAUGGGUGAUGUAAUAAAAAUAACUGUAGUUGAAAUAAUAAUAAUAAUUAUAAUUAUAAUUGUUGUGGUAAUAAUAAUAUUCAUUUUGAAUAUCAAGAUAUCGCAAGCGAGAGAGAUUGCCAAGCUGAGGUGGUAUUGCACCGAUAAAACCGGCUCCAGAGAGGUUGAGAUACCUCAACUUCUCAAGAGAGCCAAUGAACUUUGGUAUCGGGCCGCUAUUAAAGCUGUUCAUGCUUAGGUCGAGGUAAUUUAUAUGUCGUAAAGCAAGCAGAGAAGGACUGAUCUCACCGUACAAAGACAUAUCUACGGGACUGUCGAUGUCGGUGUUGCGAAGGUCGAGCUUCACGACAUGGCCCGUUCUGUUGCUGCACGCGACGCCCUUCCACCCGCAGCAGUCUUGGCCUUGCCAAGAUGAGAGGACGUUCUGACGAUCUACGACGCCUGCUUUGAAGGAGAGAAGCGCGGCCCUCUCGCGCGGAAUGCAGCAGAGGGAGGGGGCAAUGAAUAGCAGAUGCCAAAGUAAGUGAACUGCAUGGACGUUGGAGAAUCUACCAGCCUUGGCCAUUUUCUUGCUUUUUGAAUGUAGCUAGCCCAGGCGCCAACAACUGGAAGUGUAAUAUUUGCUUUUGGAGAUCACAUUAUAUAUAUAUAUAGGAUUAAAAAAUAAUAAUAAUAAAACAACUCUCCCUCUCAUUCCCUGGGCCCAACAGGUUCUCCGAGUGAGCGGACAAGUCUAUUGACUCUCCAUUUUUGACUAGAACUAGAAUACACACCACAUCUUAUUUGUUAUAUCUAUUAUGUAACUUAAAAAACUUUAUAUCAUUUCAUAAAUAAGAAAGUAUGUCAGAUCGUAUAGCUAAAAUUAUACACUAGAUAAAUAUUAUAUUCAACAUUCCAAUUAUUGUUUUGUAUGUGAAAAUACACUAUGACCUCACAAAAGACCGAAAUUCAUGAAUCUUAACAAUUUAUACAAAAUAUUGGAUAAACUUCAAAUAUCACCGCAGUGGUUUCGUAUUUUUUCACUUUAGUACCUUAUAGUUUAAAGUGUAUCUAUUUAGUACGUAUAUAUGGUUGCAUUUUUCUCUUUUCGUCGGUCCUUUCGUUAACUUUUCGUUAAUUCAUAUACAAAAAACUUCAGAUAUCCUAGCUAUAGUUUAUCGAAUAUUCACUUUAGUACCUUUUAGUUUUAAUUUUGUCACUGAUUUAACUAAAAAAAAUUUAAUGAAGAGGAUAAAAAAAAAAAAAACAAAAUCAUAGAGUACGAAAAUAAUACAUUUUAAACCACAAAGUACUAAAAGUGAGAAAGUGCGAAAUUAUAGAGAUGGUAUUUGAAGUUUUUCCUAAAAAAAAAAAAAUUCUUAUAACAAAUGAAAUUGUUGCAGAAUUUUAAUUCACUCUCGCUGUCAUUAACUGGAACAAGCACUAAAAUGUUGAUGCGAGGAGACUCAAGUAAAUAUUACUGGUCCAAGUCAUUGUAUUCUUGCGUUGAUUGGUUGUUUGAAAGAAAGAUACUCGGAGGAAACAACACAUAAGAGGGGGGAAAAAAAUGCAAUUAUGCUUAUUCACCUAGACUUGCGUCCAUGGCGCGUGGAAUUCUAUACGUGAAAACAGAUCAGGGUUUCUGUCUCGCUAUAAACAUUUUGUUUUUUUUCUUCUUCUUCUUCUUUUGUCUCGCUUGAACAUUAUCUAUCUUGUCAUUCUCAAUAAUACACAACCCUACAUUAGUAUGCUAUAAGAUACAAGACCUGUUUGGAUAUUUGAAUAGGAAAAAGGUUGUUUGGAUAUUUGAACAGGAAAUUUUUCUCUUUUUGUUUUUUCGGGAUUCAGCGAGGGCCGUUAGGUACGGGACGCCAGCCAUCACAUACCACCAUGUAAGCUGGCCCCCUGAGCCCCUGAUCUCAUGCGAUGCUCAUCGUUUCAGCGAGCCAAUUCAGAUUGUCUGAUCAGUGAGCAUAGCAUUGCUCAUUUGAAUAAGCUAUUCCAAGACAAGUUGCUUGAUAUAAAGAUUUUUUUUUUUAAUUUUGGUUAUUGGAAUCCAAGAAUAUGAUUCUACCUAUUAGAAUAGAAUAGUAUAAUUCACAUACAAGAGGUGAUUUAUUUGAUUUCGAAAGAGUGCUUUAAUUAUUAACCAAUUACUUCUUUAUACGAAUUCCAUAAACUUCUUAAAUAAAUAAAAAAAUAUAUGUUAAACCAAAAAAAAAAAUAUUGUUACUGCCCAGGAUCGAACUGGGGACCUUCAGUGUGUAAGACUGACGUGAUAACCACUACACCACAGUAACUUGUUGAGCCAAUCUAUUUAUUUAAAAUAUUUAUAAUUUAAUAAACAUUUAUAAGUUACUAUAAACAAAAGUUUUUUUUUCAGCCCAUAGAUUAUGCUCGCCAAUUAAAGCUUAGUUUUUUUUUUUUUUUUUUUUAAUGUUAUUAAAUAAAAUAGAAUUGAGAAAAAAAUAUAUAGAGAUAUGUUUUUGCGUUUUCUGGUGAAACCGUAAAAAAUAUAUCGUAACUGACUCGUCGCGAUAUGCAACGUACUUUCUCACACCGCACGUAAAACGAACCCUAACUUGAACGCUAGGGAUAUGUGCUAAUGCUUGUGUUUAAACAACCCGAAUCGGAUCCGGAUGAUGGAUCAGAGCAAAUGUGUGAGUCAGGGAACGAAGCCCGACCUGGCUCGGUUCCCUGGAUCAGGCUAGAUCCGAAAAGUUGAGAUCCGAUAAAAUCCUUCUUUAGUCUUCGGGUUCAAACCUAAGGCCCGACCCGCAUGAAUUGGGUUCCGACUCGAAUAAGAUUUAACGGGUUAUCAAGUUAACGAGUCCUAGCCACUUUUGGGUUCAUUGCUCCUAUUUGGAGAUGGGGAACCGGUGGCGGAGCGAAGAAGCGCUUCUCCCCUCUCAACCUGCUUUAUUUAUCAUCUUCGCCUUUUUUUUUUUUUUUUUUAAUUUAAUAUAACUCCGAGCUUCUCUUUAGCAGNAAACAUUUAUAAAUAAAUAUAAACAAUUUUUUACUUUGUCUAUAUACCCCCUUUUUAGGACAAUGCGUGUGUUUUUUUUUUUUUUUUUUUUUUUUGUUUUUGUUUUCCAGUUCAUAGAUUACAUUCGCCAAUUCACUCGAACGGUAGGGAUAUGUGCAAAUGCUUGUCUUAAACCACCCGAAUCGGAUCCGGAUGAUAGAUCAGAGCAACUGUGUGAGUGAGGGAACGAAGCCCGACCUGGCUCGGUUCCCUGGAUCAGGCUAGAUCCGCAAAGUUGAGAUCCGAUAAAAUCCUGCUUUAGUCCUUCGGGUUCAAACCUAAGGCUAAAUCGAGGCCCACACGGGCUGGGCAAAUUUAAUCCAUCUCUAGAGGUGCCGGCCCGACCCGCAUGAAUCGGGUUCGGACUCGAAUAAGAUUUAGCGGGUUAACAAGUUAACGAGUUAACGGGUCCAAGCCACUGUUGGGUUCAUUGCUCCUAUUUGGAGAUGGGGAACCGGUGGUGGAGCGAAGAAGCGCUUUUCCCCUCUCAACCUGCUUUAUUUAUCAUCUUCGCUUUUUUGUUUUUUUAAAAAAAAAAUUUUUUUUUUUUAAUAUCACUCCGAGUUUCUCUUAGCAGAGAGAGAGAGAGAGAGAGAGAGGGAGGUUGGAGGGAGAGCGCUUUAAUUUUCGCGCGGCGGAUGGGCUUCGGCCUCGCGCUGGUCCCUACGAGAUGGGCUUCCUCUCCGGUCCGAACCCCCCGACCGGCCGGUUCGGUUUCUUCCGGUUCACAAGACCACCUCCUCCGCUUGACUCCUCUGCGUGAGUCCGCCAACUCCAAGAACCCAAAUUUUUAUCUUGUUUUCCUUCUAAAUUUAUGUUGUGAAAUUCGUGAAAUUGAUGGGUUAUAGUCCUUGCACAAAAAAAAAUGUAGCAAACAUCUAAUAUAUGCUUGGUAAGAUAAGAGAUUAAGAUUAUGACAAUUUAACAUUUUAAUGUUCCAAAGUGAUGAUUGAACUCACGACGUUACGUAACGACGUAAAAUCAAAUCAACCUAGGAACAUAGAGAAUAGUUUUGGAAGGAUUUGCCUUUUACCAUUUGGCUCAAUUGUGACACCGCAAUAGUCCCGCAUCGGAGAGCUCGAGGUUCUGCACCCAGCAUCAACUUAAGUGUGAUUUGGCCGCAACAAGUUGUGAUUGAUUUGUUAUUGACUCUGUAGACCCAGUUUGGGAAUGCAUGGAAUUGUAAAAAGUUCGUCUUAAGAUCGUACAAUUAGUAAACAAUGUCAUUGAUAACCUGUUGGUGUUUAGUUUUGGAUAUAAGGAGCUUGUGAUAAUAGAUUUGCAAUGUUAGUUCAGAUUGAUAACUAAUGUGAUCAUGCAAAUUUCGUCAGAAUAUCGUUUUAUGUUAAUACUACCGGAGGAAAGGGCGAACCUCCGCAGAGCAACUUUUAAAGCAUCUGCGUAUUACUCUACGGCACUUCAAGGCGUCGAUAAUGUAUCUGAUGAUGUGAAAGCAAUGAAGGUCUUCGCUAUAACUGCUGAUAUAAUUCAGAAGCUUUCUUUCUUCUUUAUAUAAGGAACAAAAAAAACGAAAAAUCUGAGAGUUGCGACGAUCUUACAUUUCAGGAGAACAUGGACAGGAACUGCCGGGGUGAAUCUCGUGAUGUAUACGAAACUGUCAAUGUGAUGAAUGAGAAUGUGACUGCUGCUGCUGCUGCAAAAUUGGGAGCAAAAAGCUACUUGCAAUUUAAUUUGUUGAUGGAAAAUCUUCAUGACAUAGAAGAUAUUUUGUCUGGUACUGACANAGAGAGAGAGAGAGAGAGAGAGAGGGUGGAGGGAAAGAGCUUUAAUUUUCGCGCGGCCGAUGGGCUUCGGCCUCGCGCUGGUCCCUACGAGAUGGGCUUCCUCUCCGGUCCGACGCCCUCGACCGGCCGGUUCGGUUUCUUCCGGUUCACAAGACCACCUCCUCCGCUUGACGACUCCGCGUGAGUCCACCAACUCCAAGAGCCCAAUUUUUAUUUUAUUUUCCUUCUAAAUUUAUGUUGUGAAAUUCAUGAAAUUGAUGGGUUAUAGUCCUUAAAAAAAAAAAAAAAAAAUUGUAGCAAACAUCUAAUAUGUGCUUGGUAAGAUAAGAGAUUAGGAUUUUGACAAUUUAACAUUUUAAUGUUCCAAAGUGGUGAUUGAACUCACGACGUUACUUAACGACGUAAAAUCAAAAUCAACCUAGGAACACAGAGAAUAGUUUUGGAAGGAUUUGCCUUCUACCAUUGGCUCAAUUGUGACACCGCAAUAGUCCCGCAUCGGAGAGCUCGAGGUUCUGCACCCAGCAUAUUAGUACUAGCAACUUAAGUGUGAUUUGGCCACAACAAGUUGUUAUUGAUUGGUUAUUGACUCUGUAGACCCAGUUUGGGAAUGCAUGGAAUUGUAAAAAGUUCGUCUUAAGAUCGUGCAAUUAGUAAACAAUGUCAUUGAUAACCUGUUGGUGUUUAGUUUUGGAUAUAAGGAGCUUGUGAUAAUAGAUUUGCAAUGUUAGUUCAGAUUGAUAACUAAUGUGAUCAUGUAAAUUUCGUCAGAAUAUCGUUUUAUGUUAAUACUACCGGAGGAAAGGGCGAACCUCCGCAGAGCAACUUUUAGAGCAUCUGCGUAUUACUCUACGGCACUUCAAGGCGUCGAUAAUGUAUCUGAUGAUGUGAAAGCAAUGAAGGUCUUCGCUAUAACUGCUGAUAUAAUUCAGAAGCUUUCUUUCUUCUUUAUAUAAGGAACAAAAAAAACGAAAAAUCUGAGAGUUGCGACGAUCUUACAUUUCAGGAGAACAUGGACAGGAACUGCCGGGGUGAAUCUCGUGAUGUAUACGAAACUGUCAAUGUGAUGAAUGAGAAUGUGACUGCUGCUGCUGCUGCAAAAUUGGGAGCAAAAAGCUACUUGCAAUUUAAUUUGUUGAUGGAAAAUCUUCAUGACAUAGAAGAUAUUUUGUCUGGUACUGACAUGAUAAUGCUGGAAAGGGAUAUUCUCGUACAUAUAAAGCAGCUCGGAGCUCUGAAAUUGUUUCGUGCAUGUCUCUCCAGGAAUUUCGGUGUAGCGACUACACUGGAAUCAAAUUUCGUAGAGACUUCAUUUGAUGAGCAAAACGAUAGAGUAAUCGUUCGCACUGCGAAAGCUCGAGAGAGGAAGCUCAGAAGAAAAGGAGCGUCAGAAAGGGUUAAAGAAGAAACUACUGCUUCGAUGCCAUCUAGUGUGACCUAUCCAGGGUCGAGAAGUAAAAGAGCUUCAAUUGCACAAAAUGAAUCAAAAAUGUCAGAGGGAGUUAAGGUAGUUUUUGACAUGACACAAGUUCAAUGCCUUGUAAUGAAUAGCGUCAAAGAAAAAUUUACUGGAUUUUGUUAUUUGGCUGUAUAGGAAGUUGCGAGACUUGAAAGAGCCCGCCAAAAACUAGAAGAGCAAAGUGGGCAACCAGCUAGUUACGCCAGAUGGGCAGAAGCAGUUGGAAUUGAUCAAAAAACACUAAAGCAGCGUUUGCAGUUUGGUUGGUUUUGUAGGGAUAAACUUAUAAAAAGUACCCGUUCGUUAGUGAUGUACCUUGCUAAGAAUUACAGAGGAAUGGGGAUUGCGUUUGAAGAUCUUAUACAGGUUUUUCAUGAUGCAUCUUCGUCCUUUCGUUAUUUGUGAAAUUUCUCGUCAUACUCUUCAAUCUGAUUUGAAUUUCAUAUGAAUGUAUUCUAGGCUGGGAAUGUGGGUGUUCUCAAUGGAGCUGAGAGAUUCGACAGCAUGAAGGGUUACAAAUUCUCAACUUAUGUUCGGUACUGGAUUAAAAAAUCAAUAUUAGCGUUGAUAGCACGGCACAAAAGAGGAAUUCAGAUACCUGUAGGCCCUUGUCUUGACUUCAAAAGAUACUGAGUUCAUGUUUGAUUGUUUCGCAUUCAAAAUUAAUAUGCUUUCUCUUGAUUGUUUUAUGAUUGCAUUUGUAGGUGAGAAUGGAGAAUAUGAUUCAGAGAAUACAGAAAGCUAGGAGAGCCUUCCAUAACAAGAGAGGGAGGUACCCACAAGAUGAGGAAACAGCUAAAUUGACCGGUUUAUCAUUAGCUAAUGUAAGAUUAGCUAGGAAGUGCUCUCUUGCUGUUGGUUCAAUUGAUCAAGAGAUUGGUAAUGGAUGGUGCACAAAGUUCGCGGUAAGAUGGCCCUCUUAGGUCUUUCAUUUUCAUAGGCACACACACACACAAAGACGAAAAAAUUACAAAAAACAAGAACCAAAAAAAAAAAAGGAGUAUGCGUCUUUUUGAUUGCUUCUUACCGGAAUGCUGGAUAUCAGUGAAAAAGUCGACUGAAAUCAUCUACAUUUACUGGAAUUUCUUCACUCAUAACACUUCAAUGAGAGACUAAAAAGUUUAAGCUGUCUCUAUGUACAUCUUGGGUGUUCAUUUUCAAUCAUUUUAGCCAUCAAAGGUCUUAUAGAAAUUAACUCUUCUAACUUACAAAGUGGUCGUUUAUUUUAUUUUGUAAGUUAACUCGGAGUUUCGUGACAGGAAGUAACCCCAGAUCAAUCGAUAAAAUCUCCUUACGAGAUCAUCAUUAGGCAACAGAUGAGAGAAAGCCUUUUUCAGCUCCUAGAGAAGCUGCAUCCAAGAGAGAGGGAGGUACUAUUGUUAAGAUAUGGCCUGGUAGAUGGAAUAUGCAAGUGGCUGGACCGCCAUAGUUCGUAUCAUUGUAGUCUUUUCGUUUGCGUCUAAAGAUCAAGUGAGUUCUAAGGUGAUUUGAGUAUGCAGCUUUGUCGAUGAUGCGCAAUAAAGAUUGGACAUAUAUAGAGUCCUUUAAUUGACUUUGAUUACUCUCGUAGCUUUGUGGGAGAUUGUUAGGAUUUUCCAUAUUUUGUGGCCCAAUUAAUCAUAUUUAAUUAGGAUUUGCUAUAGAUAAAGGUCAAUCCUAAUAGAUAUAGAACUGCUUGAUAUGGUAUAUUUUAUCCCUAUCCCAUCUAUUUUAAAUUUAAAUAGAAUCCUAAUCAGACUUUGAUGGGAAGUCGAUCUGGACUCUAUAUAAAGGGGUAUUGGUCCUGCCACCUUCUCAUACGCAUUCUGGUGAAGAAUUACCAUCGGUUCCACACCAUACGGUAGAGUGCCUGAGAUAGGGGGAGAAACUAAAUCACCCAAGUUCGGUUCGUGACUUUCAGAUCGUAGCCGGACUUCCAGCUUCCGCAAGAUUAAUCAAGAAUCUCUUCUUUAUGGCGCUCUGUGAGUUAUCGUAUUUUUAUUUUUGAUCCUGGAUUUGGUAUGUAUUUAUUUUUAUUUAUUUUACAUACCUUGAAUUUCCAUCAUUUGAAUCAUCUAUUUGCUCGUUCCCUGAACAUACUGAAAGAAAGAAAAAUGGCCACAUAGCAUAGCAAACGUCUUUCGGCAUAUACUUCAUACAAAGAAAAAUGUACAAUGUGGUUGCAGUUGUGAUACUCUUUCUGAUAUUCUUUGAAUCAUGUGUAAGUUAAAAAGGAGGCAAUAUUUGUAUAGCGCUGGAACUAAACAGUCCUAGAAGGGUGCAUUUUUUCAAUGUAUACAGAGUGCAAAUAGAGAACUUCGCUGCUUACUUUUAAGUGUUCUUCAAUGAAAAGAUCCAAUGUGGAACUGAGUUCCAAUUGGUCAAUGAGAAUUGAAUUGCAAUAGAUUUGUCUUUAACUCUCAUAAAAGGGUACAGCAUAAACGGAGCUCGAUUUGCACGGACCGAGUCCCAUCGAGCUGAGUGUUGGCCGUGCCUGCGGUCGGAUAUCGAGGGAAUAGGGGACAAAUGCAAUGCAGGCUUGUGAAGGAGAGGCCUUGAUGGCAGUCUCGAAUGAGAUCGAAGACACAUUCAGUAGUGAGGUCCAUCAAGUACUCAAAAAGCGGACAGAAUAACAAAAAAUUGUGCUUGUUUGUUUUCCGGUGGAACCGUAAAAAGUCAUACCUUAGCACUAUAACUUAUGAAAUGAGCAUAAUUUCUUGUUGUCAAAGCAGUUUCCCACCUCACAAGCUUAUAGUCUGCGGUGAAGUACAAAAUUUUACCGAGUUGUAUUUCUCAAGAAGUCGGUGAUGCAACAGUCCCGAACGCCGUCUCCAAUUUUUCUUUUUUUUUUUAACAAUAAUCUCCACCGUUAAUCUCAUCUUUCUUCGUUCCCGAUCCACCGCUGACGAGCUCACGCAAAUCGAGGACACGUCAAAUUUCGUUGACUAAAACGCCCUUGUCCUUGUACUACCAUGCCAUCUACAACUACAACCGACUCCGAACUCAACUCCAUCGUGGCAUAUUCGUCAAUAACUUCCCGGAAAUGGGGCUUUUUGGACAUUUCACACCCAGGGAAAAAAAAUUAGGUUAAUAAUUUCGAGGUGCAGAGGAAACGGAUUAGGCCGUGUGGAUGGAUCCGCGCAUGAGUGCGGCUAGGGUUUUCCGCUCCCUCUCCUCCUUCUCUCCUAUUUCGCCCCCACCCACACUCCAGAACCCUAGCUUUAUCCUUUACCUAGAGAGUUGAGGCUCCUCCCCGGCGAUUCUAGUUGCCAUGGCGAUCCAAUCGUGGAGGCCCCUCUUCUAGGGCUACGGUUUUCGUUCACCCCACCACAAAGCUAAAGCUUAUAAGGUAUAUCUGUGGAGAUGGCCACGAAGAACCCCUUCGAUCUCCUCGGAGACGACGAAAGCGACGAUCCGACGCAGCUGAUCGCCGCUCAGGAGCAGAAGAGCGCAGCAAAGAAGCCCUCUGCGGCGGCGCCUCCUGCGGCGGCGGCGAAGCUUCCCUCCAAGCCGGUCCCUCCCGCCCAAGCUGGUGAGUUGAUGCGAAAUGGUUUGAUCUCUCCGUGUUGUCAUACCCUGAUUGAUCUCUAUGAUAGAUUCAGUUUAAUCCGAGUUGUUUAGUGUGUGCGCUUUGAUGAGAUUUAUGAAUUGCAGAUGUUUAUACUGUUAAAGUUUGGAUUUUUCGCUGCAAAUCUAGUAAUUUCGAAGAAUGUUUCCUUUCUUCUGAUGCAAAAUUUUAUCUUUUUAGAUUUCAUUUUGUUCCUCGGAUUUGUACAGUAAGGGAGGCGAGGAGUAAUACUGCACCAACUCGCGGCGGGCCCGGCCGCGGCGGGCCGGGCCGCGGCAGAGGGGGGCGAGGAGCUGUCGCAGGCCAAAGCCGUGAUUUUGGAAACGGAAAUGGUGGCGGCUACUCCGUUGGCGGCGGCGGCGGCUACUCCGGUGGCGGCGGCGGCGGCGGCAGCGUCUAUUCUGGAGUAGGCGGAGAAGAUGGUGACGUUAGCAGGCCCACCGAGAGGGGCCGUGGCCCUCGUCAGCCUUACCGUGGUGGCCGUCGUGGCGGUUAUGGUAACGAAGGGGAGGCCGCAGAUGAACUGGGUCGGCCGCCGCGUCGAUUGUAUGAUCGCAAGAGUGGCACUGGUCGCGGCUAUGGGAUGAAACGUGAGGGCGCAGGGCGCGGGAACUGGGGAAUCGUGACUGAUGAACCCAUUGCCCAGUUAAGACCCUUUCCAUUUAUUCUUUUAUUCUGGAAAGCUGUGUGCAAGGAAUUGUAUUGGAUUUGAGUUAUGAAGUGAAAGCCUAAUUGAUGUUAUGCUCUGAUGUUUGAUUAAUUAGGGAGGCUGAUGAGACUGUAAACAUCGAAGAGAAGAGUGCUGUGGCUGAGAAAAAGGCUGAGGAAGAUGCCCCUUCCGUGGAGGAUAAGGACAAUAAGGAGGGUGAAUCGAAGGAAGCAGAAGAAAAAGAACAAGAGGAUAAGGUAUUGUUUCUUUGCUUGCCUUGUUUGUUAGAUGCUGAGGUGAUUGUACUUGUUUAUUCAUUUCCAUCCAAGUAAUCAGUAGGCAAAGCUCGAUAAAUUCAAUACUUUUAGAUAUUUACUAUAUUGUUAAAUAUUCAUUCUUUUGCCAUUGUUCUUAUUUGCUUAUGUUGGACAGUUGUAAUCGGCUGAAACUUUUUGUUACUAUUUCUUGCAUCUAAGGUUAUAGAUUUGGACAGUUCUGAAAUGAUUUAGUUGUUAUGUUGCUAUUUUGUUGAGGCGUAAACUAUCAAGGGUUGUUUGUAACAAUUUUUUGAGUUUGUAUGGACUAAUAAAGAUCAUUAUGUGCCUUGACUGCCAAUUAAGCAAAUCAUUAGCAAUCAAAGUUAUACAUUUAGCAAAAUAUAUUGCAGCCAAACCUGCAUUUGGCUUUGCAGAAGUUGUUACGGGACCAUAUUUGUAAGUCUUGUCUUGUGAGUAGUAGAUUCUAAAAAAGUACCUGCAGCAACAUUGUUAUUCUACAAUUUUCCAUCUCUCUCUGAGCUUUCCUUGUUGAACUAAGGAAAUGAAACAACUUUCCAAGGACUUCUGAAGGAAAGGAGUCUUAUUUAUUCAACCUUUCCCAGGGGUUUUUUAAUUAACUUGGAAGUUUAAAUAGGAUUAUUGGAAUAAUUCCUGAAUAUGUGGAUGAAAUGAUUUGAAAGUUUCUAAAAGUGAAAUUAAUAGUUAGCCUCAAUUUGUGCGUGCAUACUCAAACCCAUGCUUCCAAGUUGACUCAUUAGACUCGUUAUGAGUACAUAACAAGCAUUUGAGCUCAGUGUGAUUAGCCUGGGCCUCACUAAGCUAACUUGACAGAAAUCGGAUUACAUCAUUGUUAAAGGACAUUUAGAAAUUUGUGUCGUAGUAUUCGUCAAUUUGGCAGUUGGGUAAAAUUGAUGAUGUUCAAGGCUGAUCCAAUGGGGCUUGCAUGGUGGAAUUUCUACAGAAGUUGCAAGUACUCUAUUUCACCCAGCCUAUAGUUAUUGCUUGGCUUUGUGGCAACAUCAAGGUUUUGGUAUGCUUCCAAGUUGACUCAUUAGACUCGUUAUGAGUACAUUACAAGCAUUUGAGCUCAGUGUGAUUAGCCUGGGCCUCACUAAGCUAACUUGACAGAAAUCGGAUUACAUCAUUGUUAAAGGACAUUUAGAAAUUUGUGUCGUAGUAUUCGUCAAUUUGGCAGUUGGGUAAAAUUGAUGAUGUUCAAGGCUGAUCCAAUGGGGCUUGCAUGGUGGAAUUUCUACAGAAGUUGCAAGUACGCUAUUUCACCCAGCCUAUAGUUAUUGCUUGGCUUUGUGGCAGCAUCAAGGUUUUGGUAUGUUCUUCUUUCGUGUAUCAAUUCAGGAAGUUGCCAUACAUUAACACAUACUAGUGAAAAAUAUUUAUGUGGAUGAAUGUCGGCUGCUAGCUCUCAGCCUUUCAUUUCUUUGUUUUUUAUCUUUUUAUUUUUUUUGUGUAUGUUGGGAGAGCUAUAUGUGAUGUUAUGUGACAAUGGAGAUGUUUGUUGCCUUUUGGUUAACAAUGACUUAUACGUGUAGCAUCAUAGCAUACCUAAUUUUCACUUGAUAGUUUUCAAACUAUUUUUAUUUCUUCUUUGGGGUGGCCUUCUUGGGGUUUGAGUUAUGAAGAGGAUAGUGAUGAAUUUAUGAGUUAAAUUCUUAUGAUGGUUUUUUUCCCCCAUGUUCUGUUCUAACAAUAUUCCCGUCAGAUGUGCUUCUUUUCUAUGAUUAACUUCUUUUCUUUCGCCCUUUUGAGUGGUUAACAUUUUUUUUCCCUAACUUGUUUAUAUAGGAGAUGACUUUAGAUGAGUAUGAGAAAGUAAAGGAGGAGAAGCGAAAAGCCCUACUCGCGCUUAAGGCUGAAGAGAGAAAGGUCGAAAUCGAUAAGGAGUUGCAGUCUAUGCAGCAGCUGUCGUUGAAGAAGGGUAACGAUGAGGUCUUCAUUAUGUUGGUGAGUUCGCUUUUGCAGUUCUCACUUUCUUUCCUGACUGUGUUAAUGGUUUCGAAGGUUCGUCAUGAUUCUUUUCGUGUGAUCUUAUUAGGGCUCAGAGAAGGAGGCUCUGAAAAAGAAAGAAAAUGCUGAACGGGAUGAAAGGGCGAAGAAGGUAUGUCGAAGUUAAUGCCUUCGUCCACUGUUAACUAUAAAAACUGUUAUGAAAAUUCAUAAUUCAAUGAAACACUGAAUACUAAAAUGUCUAAUUCAGUUAUCUGUUUCUGCUUGUCUUACUUUUCUAACAUCAGAAACUGUGAUUGGUGGGUUUGUAUAUCCGUUUCAGUCUCUGAGUAUUAAUGAGUUCUUGAAGCCGGCCGAAGGAGAAAGAUAUUACAGUGCAGGGGGGCGUGGUCGCGGCAGGGGCCGUGGGCCAUUCCGAGGCGGUUUUGGUGGGGGGAGCACGAGAGGCCCAACCGCCGCCCCAUCGAUCGAAGAUCAAGAACAGUUCCCUACACUUAGUGGGAAGUAAAAAGAGAGCGCAAAGUGUUACUUCAAUUAUCUAUCUUUUCACAUUCUAUCACUUCCUAUUUUGUGUCAUGUGGAUUUAAUGCAAUAAUGAGCGCGUCGAAGUUCAUUAUUAUGGUUUUCUCCGCCCGUCUUCACCGUGUACAUUUCAGCAAAGUGUUGUCUACAACAGUGUCUUAUUGUAUGUGUAGGACUCUUUGCGCUGUUAUGUGUUGUUGUUUCUAAUGAUUUUGCUUUGUAAGUUUGCAAAUGUUCACUGGCCCAUUAACAGUGUUUCUUCUGGUGUUAGUUUUUCUCUUUAUUUUACUAAGCUCAUUAGGCUGUAACUGAGCUUCUAACUCGCAAAAGCAAAAUAUAUAAACUUAAAAACCAUUGUGGACAUUACUAGGAGAGAAAAGCAGCUGUUUGUUUAAACAGGGGUACUUUAAAUACCAUUUUUGUGGUUUUGUGCUUUCCCAUUUUAAUAUAUUGUGAUUUAAAAUGUAUUGUCGUAGUAUUUUGUGAUUUUAUUUUUUUUCUUUUGUUAGUGUCUUCAUUAAUUUUUUGUUAAAUUAUGUGCAAAAAAAUCUAGAUAUUUUAUUUGUAAUUAACAAAUAUUCAUUUUAGUAUUUUGUGAUUUAUUGAAUUUUUAAUUUGGUAUUUUGUGGUUUUAAUUUAGUCACUCACGAAAAAAAUUAAUAAAGGAAAUAACGGAAAGAGAUAAAUAAAAUCAUAGGAUACAAAAAUAGUAUAUUUUAAAUUACCGUGGUACUAAAAUAAAAAAUUGUGAAAUUACGGUGGUGUGGUAUUUUAAGUUUUUUCUUUAAACAGCUCUUGCUCUUUGUAUUAUAAACUUAUUAGUCGGAUCAGACACUGCAUAUUUGGCAUUUUUGGAGGAGUUUCAGUAGCUUGUAAUGAUUAACGCAGUUUCAAGUUGGUAUCCCAAAAUCUACGGUACUGCUGUAAUUGGAACCAGGAGGAUGAAAUCAAGUUAAAGUUUAAGCAAUUCUUUACAAUUAACUCAACCGGUUAAAAUUGGGGAAGUUUCUUGCGAUUUUUUUUUCAUUUUUGAUACUCAUUGAUCUAAUUACAUUAAGUCUUUGUUUGGUUAGGGGUCAAGGGAUGGAAUAAUCUCUUAACCUCAUAUUAUUUCCAAACACCUCCAAAAAUUAGUGGGAUUAAUUAAUCCCACCUCAAAUGGGCUAUCCCGGGUUAGCUAACCCCACCUAACCCUAACCAAAUAUUAUUUUCUAUUCAUAAUAACCCUCUUUUUUUCUUAUCUCAUUUACUCCAAUUAAACACUAUUUUUUACUAUUCUGAGCUAACUUUAAUCCCCAACCAAAUACAAAAAUACUCUAAUUUCAUCUUAAUUCUGAAUUUAACUCUAUUUCUGAAAUAAUUAAUUUUUUUUUACUUCCGAAUCGAGCGGUAGCUUAAAAAAUAGAAAACGAAAAAGAAAAUAGUAGAGUAGGAUUGCUAGGCCGGCACCAGGAUCAAAACGCAUUCAAAGGUUACAUCACCCAUCAAUUCUCAUAAAUUAUUGUUACCCCUNCUGCUGUAAUUGGAACCAGGAGGAUGAAAUCAAGUUAAAGCUUAAGCAAUUCUUUACAAUUAACUCAACCGGUUAAAAUUGGGGAAGUUUCUUGCGAUUUUUUUUUCAUUUUUGAUACUCAUUGAUCUAAUUACAUUAAGCUUUUGUUUGUUGGGAGUUAAGGGGUGGAAUAACCUCUUAACCCUCAUAUUAUUUCCAAACACUUCUAAAAAUAUAUAGGGUUAGCUAAUCCCAUCUCAAAUGGGUUAUUCCGGAUUAGCUAAUCCUACCUAACCCCAACCAAACACUAUUUUCUAUUCAUAAUAACCCACUAUUCUUCUUAUCCCACCUAUUUUAACCAAACACUAUUUUUCACUAUCGUGGACUAACUCCAACCCCCAACGAAACACAAAAAUAUUUUAAUCCCAUCUUAAUUCUGAAUUUAAUCCUAUUUCUAGAAUAGAUAGUUUUUUCAAAUAGAUAGUUUUUUUUUAAUCCUAAAUCAUACGGUAGCUAAAAAAAUAGAAAAGGAAAAAGAAAAUAGUAGAGUAGGAUUGCUAGGCCGGCACCAGGAUCCAAACGCAUUCAAAGGUUACAUCACCCAUCAAUUCUCAUAAAUUAUUAUUACCNUUAAGCAAUUCUUUACAAUUAACUCAACCGGUUAAAAUUGGGGAAGUUUCUUGCGAUUUUUUUUUCAUUUUUGAUACUCAUUGAUCUAAUUACAUUAAGUCUUUGUUUGGUUAGGGGUCAAGGGAUGGAAUAAUCUCUUAACCUCAUAUUAUUUCCAAACACCUCCAAAAAUUAGUGGGAUUAAUUAAUCCCACCUCAAAUGGGCUAUCCCGGGUUAGCUAACCCCACCUAACCCUAACCAAAUAUUAUUUUCUAUUCAUAAUAACCCUCUUUUUUUCUUAUCUCAUUUACUCCAAUUAAACACUAUUUUUUACUAUUCUGAGCUAACUUUAAUCCCCAACCAAAUACAAAAAUACUCUAAUUUCAUCUUAAUUCUGAAUUUAACUCUAUUUCUGAAAUAAUUAAUUUUUUUUUACUUCCGAAUCGAGCGGUAGCUUAAAAAAUAGAAAACGAAAAAGAAAAUAGUAGAGUAGGAUUGCUAGGCCGGCACCAGGAUCAAAACGCAUUCAAAGGUUACAUCACCCAUCAAUUCUCAUAAAUUAUUGUUACCCCUCUCUCUCUCUCUCUCUCUCUCUCUCUCUCUAUAUAUAUAUAUAUAUAUAUAUAUCACAUGCACACAUUUGAUAUGAUGCUCUGAUUAGUCGUUUGACAUGAUGGAUCAGAGCCCAACAAGAGUCCUUUUCCCAGGACGGAAUCUGUCGUGCUCAGAGAGAAAGUGUCAGUAUUUUGACUUGUGCCAUCACAUCUCCCUCCAGAUUAGGCUAGACACGUGUAAGUUCUGAAUCUGACAUUAUUUUGCAAACAUAGAAAUCAUUUAAUUUUACUGUCAGGCAUCUCACCCUUCUACCCAGGUCAACUGAAAAUUACGAAUUCGUAUGCUGCUUGUGAGUUAGUUUCUACUUUGAUUUGACCCAGUGAAGUUUCUGUAAAAAAAAAAAUUACUAUUUCAAUUAAACUUUUUAAAUAAAUCAUAAGUAUAUGUUUCAAUAAAAAAAUAUCCUCUGCUUUGUUCUCGAAUUGUCCAAUUAAAGAAGCUGGUGUUAAGUCCUAACAACUGCUUCUCGAAUUCAAAAACCUGCUAAGUUUCAGAUUAGAAGACUGAUGAUUUUCUUCUUAUCUGUCAGAAUCAGAUUCUGCUGUUCCCAGUCUCUCCACUAUAAGCAAUGCGAUUGAUUUCUUCCAUUAUUUACAACAGCAAGUGACCGGAGAAAUCCCGAGAAGAUCUAAACUUUUGAUCGAAUAAAUCAUGCACAAAACAGCAUUAAUCCCUCAAUUCAUUAACUGCUGAAAACAAUAAAAUUUCCACUGUACAUAAAAGCAUUACCGUAUAAUAGCAAAAGAUAUUGCAGGGGGAAAAAGCAGCACUAGAUAAAAAAGAGGAAAUAAGAGACAUGACAAAGAUGAUGAAAGAGUUUGAGAAAAGAGAGGAGAAUACACAGUGGAUGAGCAUUCUAUCCAAGAUUAUGUUUAACAUCUUCGCGCGAGGCUCUCCCUCUCUCUAUCCCAAGCCGCUCUUAAAGCUUCAUAAGAGUGCUUUGAAUCUGAGAUAUUGCUGCUCUCUUUGAUCUUCGGCUGAUCAGUCAAUAUUCUCCGACUCCUGUUUCCGUGGUCGUAUCGAGGUGUCGAAAUGUAGCCAGAAUCCAUUAACAUAUCGCCCUCCAAUAUUCGUAGAACCUAUUCAGAUAACAGCAAAAUUGAUAUCAGAAAGUUACACAGUAAAUAAAACAAAUACUUACUGUUUUCAGUUGAAGGAUAACAUCUAUUCUCGUGGAUUUUCUUGUUUUUUGGUUAUGACUAACAUUCACUUUACUACAACAUUGACGUUCACAGAAAAUUACCACAGACGAAUUAAGCGCUCCAGGCAAAAGUAAGUGCAAGUUAAGGGAGGUGUGUUUGAGAAAGAAAAGGUCAAUGCAUUUUUCUAAAGCUGACUCGUGUGAGAUUGUUGUCCAAUAUGGUGGUAAAAUUUGCAAACAUUAAAAUUAGACUUACCUGAGACAUACGAGGCCUCGCAUGCGGAUCACGUCUAAUACACAAAGAUGCUGCGUGCAACAUGCAAUAGACCUCCUCUUCACAGUAGAGGUGUCCCAGACGAGGAUCGAUGAGCUUAUCAAUUGCAUAUUCCUCGAGUAAUGGUCGAGCCUGUUACAAGCAAAGAAAUUGACAAUUAAAUUACGGACUUUUUUUUAAGAAAGUGAAGCGUAAAAAUUUCACACAUUAAGAAAGUGAAGCUUAAAAAUUUCACACAUUUCUUGACCUACAGGAUUGGGCAAGUUCACCAAUUCUAUCUUUUUGGAAAAAAACAAAAAGCUAAAUGCUUUCUUAAGGGAUAAUCAGAAUGAUGUCCUGAGAUUAUGGAAACUUACCCAUUCAGUAAGGCAUUGCUGACCCUUUGGUCGGUUUAUGUCGAUGGCUUUGCGUCCCGUGACAAGCUCUACGAGUACCACUCCAAAUGAAUAGACAUCAGCCUUUUCCGUGAUUUGCCCACUUUGGGCAUAUUCAGGUGCCAAAUACCUACAGAUCAAAUUAGCCUUAAUUUAGAACUCCUCCAUUUCCUCCAACAAGAUUUAAAGAAGCAUUAGUUUAAUUCUGGGUUACCCAAAUGUGCCGAUCACUCGUGUUUCAACACCCAAGUCUCCAUCAGGCUGCCAUCUUGCCAAUCCGAAAUCACCUACCUUUAGAAUACCAUAAUAUAAGUCAGAAAGCAUGAAAAAUCACCAUCCAAGCACUUCCUUCUGAAAUUAUAAAACGAAUCCAUCCUUUCAUUGAAAAAUAAUUGUGGGAAUAUAAUUGUGUUCAAGACAAAUGUGCAGUUAUGCGCAAAAAUUGAUCGUAGGUUAUUGUGCGUUUACCAUCGCAAAUGAUAGCCCAUAGUUCCUACUCUCUUGACUAAACUUCCGAAGAUUAUACAUACUACUAUAUGGAACAUCUUAUUUGCUCUUGGCAUUCUAUCGACUUUCCAAAGACUCAAUAAAACAUCCUGCUAAUGAGUAUAGACACAUGGAAAAGCCAAACCAUUCACAGUAGUUGUACACAUGUCCAAGGGAAACAUAGAAGCGUCAUCGAGAUUACUAGUUACUCAACAGAAUCUUUGCAACAGUACAAAUCAAAUAUAACGUAAAAUGGAAGAAAAAAAUUAUAACUGGAAUUAGAGAUAGGAAGAGUGAGAAAAUCAAAUGAAUGAUGCCUUGAGUGAUAGAGUACGGAAGGUAGGUAAACCUCCAGGCUAGGCAGAACGGUUUGGACUUAUUUCAGCAUGGCCGAUGGAUUUUUAUUUUUUAAGAUAAUCUAAAUAUUAUCAUACACCAAAUAUACAGGUAAACAAACUUAAGAAAUUUUAGUUGUAGAUAUGCCAGAAAAAAAUGAUGAGUGACAAGAACGCUGUGCCCCAAAAGGAAAAAGGGCGUACCAGUGGUUCAAAAUCAUGAGUAACAAGAAUGUUGUUCGGCCUCAUAUCACGAUGAACAAUGCAACCCACUCUACACUCUUCGUGAAGGUAUCGCAACCCUCGGGCAGCCCCAACUGCAAUCUUUUGCCGUGCAGCCCAUUCCAGUGGCUCUCUAUUACGUCCUACCAAACAUUCAAUUAUUGUAAAGAGAAAUCAUCACCACUGUAACAGAUUAAUUACACUGAAGGGCCAAGAACACUACGAACUAAAAAGUGAAAAAAAAAAAAAGGUACCAUAAAGAUGAGAAUCCAGUGAUCCGUUGCAGAUGUACUCAUAAACCAGCAAUCUCCUCUUGUCCUCAACACAAAAUCCAAUCAGCAUUACAACAUUGCGAUGCUGCGCGCAGCUCAGAACUUCCACUUCCGAGCAGAACUCAAGAUCACCCUGGGAACUGGCAAGUUUAUGUUGCUUAACUGCGAUUGCCUGGCCAUCAGGCAAGACCCCCCUAUGGACGGAACCGAAUCCACCCUCGGCCAAGAAAUUGGCUUUCGAGAAGCCAUUUGUAGCAAGCUCAAGUUCAGAGUAGGUAAACCACCUCGGAGGUUUUCCAAACACAGGUGCUUUGUGCUGACACACCGAACAUAAAGGAGGUGGUCCUGGAGGGGCAGUUCUAGAUAAGGAAACUGCCUCCCUAACAUUUCCUCUGAAGCUCAAAUCCGAUCUGCUGCUUAUGGUGCCAAUAUCUGCCCCUGUAUCAAGUUUGGUAAAUUUCUCAAGAAGUGCUUUUGCCGAUGAAGUGCGGGCACAUAGAAUCCCCGCCAUCCAGGGCUGGAACUCUAAGGUUGUCGGAGGGCUUAAACUUUCAGCGUCAGAAUCAGAGAUAUUAGCAUCUAUAUUCAGCACUUCGUCCUUGGCUGCUUGCCCCUCUUUCUUUAAAGAUCGGUUAGUUUCAGACACACAAAAAGGUGAAGUCCCCGGAUCUGAGCUAGAGACAGAGGAUGUCCCGGCUUCCGUACCAGUAAAAGGAGUAUCUGUUUCGGGGCUGCUGUUUGGCGUUACAGCUGGCCCCCUAAUGGAGUUGCGAGGCUCUCGUAUGUCCUUUGUGGCCUUACCCAUUUCACCAUUUAACUCGGGCACCGAGGGACAAGACAACUGCGACUGUUUCUCGGGAACUAAAUUCAACCGAAGAACUUUGGGUUGUGAGCGCUUCAUAACUACAAUAUUGCAUCGUAGCUCUUCCAUGCAUCGCUUUUCUUCGUUCUUCAAAUCCCUGUGCACCAUUACAACUAUACAUUCGAUCAAGGAUUUCAAAGGACAAAAAGAAAGGGGCAUAAAAUUUAAACAUUGGAUAAAAAACAAGAAAAAGACUAGUGUGGAAGACGAAUAAAGAUUUAAUAUCUUAGGAGAAAAGCCUAGUUUCUCCAAAGAGUUACAGCAGAGGCAAGCCAUACUUGUCCAGUACGACCCAGUUUGCUUGAGCUCGCGUGGAUUCAGCAGCCACUGAUCCAGAAGGUGAUCCAGAAACAACCUUUAUCUUCACAUUUAUCUGCAAUAAAGUGGAGACAUUGUGGACAGCAAGUUAGAUAAGAUCAGUGCGCAGGACAAAGAACCGACUUUCAUAGUGACCUUUAUAUAUAUAGAGCUGUUGAAAGACAAUGGAAUUCUAAUUAGAUAAGAGAAAAUCCAAAUAGAUCGAGGAAACCAGCAAUUUAAAAUGUUAACCUUAUUUGGAUCAUAGAUAUUGUGGAGUUGAAGCAUCAUUUGCGAACAAGAUUCUGUGAUAUCAGACUUUUGCUCCAGAGUAGUAACAGAGUUUGACUUCUUGUGACCGCUCGCACAGUCCCCUGCAAAUCUCGGAAAUCCCCAUAAAUUUCUACCUGAAAAAUGAAAAUAAAACUAUAUUAGAUCAUAAUUGCCGCGAAGAACUAGAAAAUGUGUCAAAAUAGCAGCAACAAGCAGGCAACAAGAGUCAAGAACACUUAUGAGUCAGAUCAAAGUAAUACUAAUCUAUAAUGUCAAGUAAUCUACAAGGGAACAGCAAACAAUGCAGUCACAGACAUGCCAUUUGAGUAAAAAUCCAAACUUAAGCAAGUAAUCAAGCAAUUUAAGACCCGAAUCCUGCUCCUAAAGUGCAUGAACAAAGACAAAGAAAGGGCCUCAAACUGAACAGAGCAACACCACUGCUCAUGAGGUAUAUUCAAUGUAUAUCCAAAUGAACCACAAGAUCAAAUAUCAGAGUAGCUGUAGAAAGCCCAACAAAAAUUGCUACAAACAAGCAGCCGAAGCACGAACAAAGGCAGGCAACAGUAUUCGAGAGGUCGGCGAAACAUCACCAGAACUGUGCGGCGGAACCACAACCAGAAGGGUGAUACAGUCGCCGGGCUGAACCACAUGCGUUAGAGCCCACACGAGCGCCGUCCUCGAGAUUUCCUUCGACGCCUUCACCGCGACCACCACCUUCUCCUUCGACGAUUCGGCGCCGCCCUUAUGCCCCUUCCCCCGCUUCAGCUGCUGCUGCUGCUGUUGCGUAGAACUCAUCGCUCCUUCCCAAAUCCAAACUCCCCCCACAAAAAAAAAAAAACACCAACUUUGCGAAUAGCUCUCUAGCUUUACGACCACACUAGAGUUUCAGAGCAAAUGUAGAUACAAGCAUGAUGAUUCAGAGCCAAGUGUUGUCGCUAACGCUGUUUAUAGCACUCACGGUGGGGUGGAAAAGACCCCUGCUUCAACCUGCACAGAGGAAACAGGCAAAACGCAUUUACUCCAACAACCCAAUUACAAUGACCCUUCUGAAUCCUUUCUCCUCCUCUUUUAUUAAACCCAAUUCUCAAUUUGACCUCUAGAGCAGGGGGAAAAAACAAGGGCUCAUUUUUUUUUACUUACCUUGAUCAAAAGCUUUACUAGUGCCCAAUUCUCAAAGGUCGAAGCUUUUUGAGGUGUCGUUGGUUUCCGGGAAGAGGCUCCUCUCUUUAUAUUAUACUUGUGAUGAAAUGAACACAGGAGGAGGAGCAAACUAUGAGAUAAUAGGAGGGACCGAGCGCACUGUUCUCGUGAAUGUACCGGGACUGUUGAAGGAAAACGACAGAGGCGAGAACGGGUCAGCUUCUACAGUAACGAGCUCGUUUUGAAGCACGAUAAAAGUUAGCCUAGGGUUUCAGAAAAGAAAAAAAAAAAAACCCUAGAAAUAUUCGAAACUGGAAGAAGACAACGCCCGAGAGGUCGAAGGAGACGCGCGGUGGAGCAAACCCCCCCCUCCCCUCCCACGGAAGCUUCGAUUGAUCAAAGCGCAACGAUUUGACAAUAGAACCCUGGUAAUAAAGCUAAAAAUCAGGAGAUUCUUUGCCAAAGCCGGACCAAAAAUUCCUCAAAAUUGCUAACCUACCACCCUCGAACACCUUCCCAAAAUCGAUUUUUUUUCCCCCUCUUUUUCAAAAUCUAAAAGUCGAGCUCGGAAAACACAAAAUCGCAUCCAAAUCCGUCUCCAAAACCACCAUUUUCGAACCAAUCCAAACACCGAACGAAGAACGAAGGAAGCGCGAAUUCGAACAGAGUUCAAAACGACGCAGCAACGGCGCUCGAUCUCAGGCCCCUCCCCCGGAUUCGAAAGCCGUAACCCUAACCCUAAUCCCCCCUCAAAAAGGGAACAAUCGACGCACCUCCAUGAGCACCAACGCGAGCGCAAUUAAUCCCUCCUCCCUCCUCACCACUCCCCCGAACGAGCGCUAUUACUGCGGAUCGCCGUCGCACAGCUCGCCAUUCGCAAACGCCCCUCCACAUCCACUUUAUUACGAAAACGCCACCAACGUAUUAAAUGGCCACCCCCUACUUCCUCUCGGUUAAUCGAUCCCCACCGUUCGUGCGUUCCACCCCCACAUCCUCUGGUCCACGACGCUAAUUAUUGAGGAUCCGGAUCACCAGCCGUCCGUAUCUCCGGUCGGACGGUCCUGAUUUCGUACAGCAGUCGCCAUGUCGAUGUCGAGAGCUUUAUACGGCUCUCAUUUUCCAAAAAAAAAAAAAAGAGGUUUAUAAUUAUACGUCUCUAUCGGUGAUCAGACGGUCCAGAUAAGGUACACCUGGCAAUUGGCGCCACCCGGUCCACGAAGAUGGACCACGGGGAGUGGAUUAGGGUGAAAAAGUAUGACUUGUCCUUGCACUAUCUGACUAUCGCGGAUCGAUCCUGGACCUUUUUUUCAAUAAUUAUUUUUACAGAGAAAUUAAAGUUAUUUUAUGGUACAAAAAUAUUAUUUCAUUAUUUAUAUUAAAAAAUAAUUAUUACUUUUUAGUGUAAUUGUUGGUUCUUCAGCAGUUGACCAAGAGAUCAGAAUUAGAUCAUGUGCUUAUAAAAAAGCAAACACUCCCAUUUUCCCUAUUUUCUUUUUUUUUUUCAAAUAGAAAAAAUCACGUAUUGAAAUAAAAAUACGUGGAUGGGGUUAGGAAAUGGGGAUAGUACGGGGACUCUUUAUACAUUUUACCACCGCAGUUAAUCACGUCGUCAAUAGAUGCCCGUAUUUGAUCGGACGGUCGAAAAUUUGGGGUUGGGUACGAUACUGGGGGAGGGGGAGGAUCACGUGCGAGGUGGGGAGUAGCGGUUACGUUGGACAGGGAGUGGAACAGGCGCUGCGGAUCAGAAGAUCAGAGUCGUCAGAUAUAUUGGCGGUAAAUGGCGUCGUCUCGCUACUACGAGCUCAUCAGAGGCUGACACGUACUCGAUUGCAAUUUGGUACCAUUUCAUCUCCAAGUGGAUUACACUACAUAACCAUGACAAAGUGGGAAGCGAAACGCAUUCGUUACAGCAAGGGGAAACGGCUCUCUCUCUCUCUCCCUUUAGAAUAAGGUUAGUAUAUCUAAUGUUAAAUUCGAGUUUUUUGUCAUUAUUUUUUAUAAAAUUUUUAUUUUUAAUUAUUUAUUUUUAGACUACUUGUUUGAUAUAUAAAUAAUAUCAAAAAAUUAUAAAUUUUAAUUUUUAAAUAUUUUUAAUAGCAUAAUUAUAUUUAACGGAGUUAAUCGUCGAUACAGAAGUCGUAUCAUUCAAAAUAAAUUUACAGCACCAAAAUCGUUGUGCUACUAAUAGUAUAAUAGUUUCAUUACUUCCGUUAUUUGUUUUGAUGUAAGUGAAAAACAUAAUAUAACUCAAGUUACGUUAGAGCUCCACUUCACCUACUCUCGACUUCCUCCUCUAAAGUGCCGAACUUGGCUUUCAGUACACUCAGCCUCCUCUAAAAAAUUUAUUAAACAGUAAAACCUAAACUCUACUUCCUUUAUAAUGGUUUAGAAUUACCUUAUUUAUAAUAAAUUAGGAUUAUCUUUAAAUAAUAAUAAAAAAAUUAAUUAUAUAAUAGAUUAAAUUUUAUAGUGGUAAAUUUACUACUAUUUAGGAGAUAAUAAGAUCCACUUACUUACAUCAAAACAAACAACGGAACUUAAAAAACUAAUUUUACGAGCACCAAGUUACAUCAAAACAAACAACAAAAGUGAUUGAAUUUAACUUUCAGACGGUACAAAUUACGUCAAAAUAAAUAAAAAAAAAUUAAUCACACUUCAGAGAAAUUUAAACACCACUAUAUUUGACUUACGUUGAAUCUACAAAUACGUCAAUCCAUACCCCCCCUUAGAUUUU